UUGGAAGCUCUACUAUAUAUAUCUCUCCUGCUCGGCUAUUGGAAGACAGAACUUGGAAAAGCUUUAAUUAGUCUCAUACGUUCUAUUCAAUAGUGAUUCUGAGUUUCUUUCUAGCAACCCUUUUGUAUUGUUCUUAAAUUGUAUUAUGCUGGAAACUUGAUAGUCGGUAAUCAAUAUCCUUGUUCUUAGUUUAAGUCGUGUAUCGGCUUGGUCUAUCUAGAGUUGAUAGGAUCUGUUUGUAGACAAGCUUUCAAAGCUACAGUAGUGCAGAGGUCUCAGUGGUGAGAAGGAUUGCAGAGGUGCAAGAUGGGCCAGUCGUGUCCAACGGAAAACUUUCUCAAACAGGGAGUUAUUUUGUAUUUAACUAAGUUAAAUUGAAAUAAAUAGAGUCUCCAAUACCAAUUGGUAUUGGACGUGGAUUAGGCCACUAGAGGGGCCGAACCACGUAAAAAUCUUGGUGUGAUUUUUACUUCUGUUUAUCUCUUUAACUGUCAUUCACGUUCUGAACUUCUUUGUUAUUCACGCCACUAUCCAGACACUAAAGCAGACAGGUCUAGCUGUCUAAUAAUAAGAAAUGAAGAACAUAAGCUAAAGCAAACACUAAAGCAGACAGGUGUAGCUGUCUGAAUUAUACCUGUAGCAGAAAAUUUCAAAAAGUUUUCACUAUUUAUCACUUUAAGCUUAAACACCUAUUCACCCCCCCUCUAGGUGUGCACAUAUUAAUUGAAUUACAUUAAGUUUGGCAGAUUUUGAUAAGUGGAUUUUAUAUCCAUGAAUCGAUGUCCAUUUCAAGCUUAAUCGUUGUUAAUUUCUUGUUUCCAUGUUCGUUUUUACUCGUUUUGUGUUAUUUUAUGUGUAUGGUGGUUGGUGUGGAAAGUAGCAAAGAAACGGAGUCAUUUGAAGCAAUUAUGGAAGCAAGCAUGAAGUUUAGCAAAAUUAAGAAGCAGAUAAUACCCCCGCCGGGGCGGGCCUAUUUUGUUCUUACACCCCACCGGGGCGGGGGGUCUCGAAGUCUGGCAAUCCUAGCUUAUUGCAAACUCUGAUGGAACAUGGAUUUUAGUAUGUGGAUAGCAUUUAGACUCUAAUUAACAUGGGACUUCUACCAAAAACUGGUGUGUUGGAUAAAUAUUGAGCAACAAACAUCAUAAUCAAUAUGAUACAGAGCAAUUAUCAGAGAUUAAUUAUAGAAAUUCAUAUCGAGCAUUGGAGUGAAGAUUUUGAUGAACUUUUAUAUCGAUUGUGGAUUAAGGCUAACGUGAAUGGUGUUUUUCAUUAUUCUUCUUCUUAGUCUUAUAUUUGUAAUUGAAAAGAUGUUAUCUUUAAUUUAUUCAGUAUUUAAUUCAUUGAUGAUGAUCUAAUUUACUUUUUAGGCUUAUGAUGGAUCCUUAAGUGAAACGAUGAUUAUGUAACUUUGAUUUCCAUUUUAAUAAGCUAUUAUCCAGUUUAUCUAUAUUAAUUUGAGCUUGGAUUUAUGAAUUGCCUGAUCAAUAGUUCUUUGUGGAUUUGUAUGAAUUCGAGAGAGGAAGUACGAAUCUAAACUUAGUUAAUAUAACAUGUGUUCUUGAAUUUUGGGAAUGAACAGAAUCUUGAUGAAUGUUAAGGUAGAGAUAUGCUUGACAUCGCAUGUAAUGGGAUAGGGAACUUAAUCUUAAACCUUCUUUAAUUAUAAUUCACAUAGAGAUAUAAUGAGUUUGUUGAUUAAGGUGUUUAACUUAUUUCUAUCUAAUUUGUGGGUUUGAGUUAAUACAGUAUUAGUGCAAUGAGAGGUGGAUAGUGCUACAUUAGUGUUCUUGAUUAAUAAAUUGGGAUAGUGAAUUGAAUUGGAACAAAGGUGUAAAAAUCAGAGUGAAGCUUAAGGUGAAAUCGUAAGCCUAAUUCUCCAAUAAUUGUUAAUAUUUGUGAUUGGUUUGUGAUCUUAUAUUUAUUAAUAAUUUAGAUUUUAUAAUUUUAAUCAUUGAUUUGGAUAGUUUAAUAAAAUUAGGAUUAAUAAGAAAUUGAUAAUUAUGAGGUUAAAUUCUUACUUAAUUGUCUCUGUGGGAAUGAUACUUUACUUACUAUUAUAUUACUUGUUGACCACGUAUACUUGCGUGUCGUGCGUAAUUAGAUUUUACCCAAUAUUCCCAAGUAGUGAUCAUUGGCUAUGGAGAUGUCUGAUGGUGGGUGGUUGAACAAACCUUUGAUAACUGUUGUUUUCUUCCUAUACACCAUGGAUUAUAACCUCAGUAUAAACUCAGUGGCCAGUCCACCAUUCCUCUAUAAAUAGCAGUUCAAUUCUCAGUUUUUAAGUGGCUAUGUUUUGACUGUGAAACUUUGAGAAAUUGAGUCUGAGAGUUUGUGCUUCAAAGAAGAGUCCAACAAUCACAUAAGGGAGAAACUAAGUAUACUACGCUUCAAGAGGUAUAAAAAUCCUAACUUUUGUACUUAGUUGGGUUUUAUCAAAUUCUUAGAAAUUACAUAAAUUUCUUUGUGAGACCCCAAAUUUUAGGAAUAAAGAUUUAAUUUUCUCGAAAUAUUUUUUUGAAUAUUAUGGUGUGAAUUUGAGAUAGUGUUAUAGUUGUGGGUAGUAUUUGAAAAUUUUGCAAAGUAUGCAAGUUGUCAUAUAAUAUUCGAUUGGUCGGGGAAUAUUCUUUUUGUCGGGGAAUAUUCGUAUGGCAGCAUAAUCAUUGGUGGACCCCACAAUGGAAGUACUGUCGUAGUUAGAAAACGACAAAGAUAUUUUUUGGAAAUAACGAUGGAGGUUUUAUCGUUAAUACUGUUGAACUACCCGGUAGUAAAAGUAUAGUAAUACACGUGGUUGCAUAGUAGCACACGGUAUUGAUUAUUGAUGCUUACGUGAUAAGUCACUCAGUUAUACUCAAUUAUUGCUAUAGUAAUUUGUGCAUCAUAUCUCUCAUAUUAUUGAUUCGAUUAUUAUCACAGUAUCAUGUGAAUAAUAUGUUAUUUUAUUAAAUCAAUAAUUGAGACGACAAAGUUAUUCAUAUUAUUAAAUUGCAAUAUUUACAAUGUCUAGAAGUUCUAUCAAGGAGAGGUUUGGUCACCUAAUUGCGCGCCAAUAGGGAGAAAUCCUUAUUGGAAAGCCCCCUCUUUCCUGGGAACUACCUGGUUGUUAAAUAUUGUGAGUUAUAAUAUUAAUGAUGAAUAAGUUCGUGUUGAUUAAAGAUGAAUUUGAUAAUUUCAUUAUGUUGGGAUUAUUUGUGUUAGUAGAAAUCGACAUCUAUUCCGAUGAUAAUUGAUGUCUGGAGGUUAAAUUAUUCAAUCGGGUAUUCGGGGAACUUUUGGUGUCGGAGUACUAUUCACGAGUUACUAUUCAUAAGUUACUAUUCAUGAGUUACUAUUCAUGAGUUACUAUUCACCCAGUUACUAUUCACUCUAGUAUUGUGCAUUCGGGUAUUUGGGUACAAUAUUAUUCCAUGAGGAGAUGUGCUAAUUUUUCAGACCGUUGGUUGAAGUUAUAUUAGUGAAUCAAUAUGGACCGCUGGUGGAAAGUUAUAAUAGUGAAUCAAUAUGGAUCGCUGGUUUAAAGUUUUAAUAGUAAAUCAGUAUGGACCGUUGCUUUAAGUUUUAAUAGUAAAUCAAUCUGGACCGUCCGUUUAAAAGUAAAUCAAUCUGGACCGUCCAGGAAUUAGUUACUAUUCAAUCCAUUCUUCUAUAAAUAGAAGCUCAUUCCUUCAUUAUUUCUUACGAAUUCACUGAAACUCUAGAGAGAGAAAUUAUAGAGAGAAAGAAGAAGAGUAUUCUAUUACUUCACUACUUCGAUAUCCAGUGUCUUUUACGGUAAGGGGUGUUAUUCUUUCUUAUUCAUGAAGAGAACUUCUGUUAUUCCAUUCUUUAUUAUUCUGUUAGAAUAACCUGUAUACGCGGCAUACCCUAUACAUAACCUGUAUACGUGGCAUACCCUAUACUUGGUGAAAUCCCUCUUUAUUCCAUUAUAUAUUAUUAUGUUGGAAUAACCUGUUUAUGCGAAGUACCGCAUACAUGGUGAAAUUCUUCUGUUAUUUCAUUCUAUAUUAUUAUGUUGGAAUAACCUGUUUAUGCGAAGUACCGCAUACAUGGUGAAAUUCUUCUAUUAUUCUAUUCUAUAUUAUUAUAUUGGAAUAACCUAUUUAUGCGAAGUACCGCAUAUGUGGUGAAAUUCUUCUAUUAUUCCGUUCUUUAUUAUUCUGUCAGAAUAUCCUGUCGGUGCGAAUUUCGCCUGACCUGGUUCCAUUAUUUAUUAUUUCGCAUUUAUUAUUCUGUCAGAAUAUCCUGUCUGUACAUUCUAUGUUGGACCUGGUUCCAUUAUUUAUUAUUCCGCAUUUAUUAUUCUGUUGGAAUAUCCUGUCUGUGCAUUUUACGCCGCACCUGGUUCCGUCUUUGUCAUUCUGUUGGAAUAACCUGCCUGUGCUAUCUAUCAAAUGUCUAGUGAUUUCUUUUGUUAUUCCAUUAUUUAUUAUACUCAGUUGGUUAAAGUUUUAAGUUCUAUACUCCAUGAAAUUAGUGGAAUAUCCUUGAUAUUUGCGCUUCAUCCAGUAUCUUUUCAUGGAAAUAUUCUUCUGAUCAUUCUUGAAUUUUACUCUACAAAGAAGUAUCAUGUUGACAAUUUGGACGUUAUUAGUUCCUGAAUAAAUUAAUUUGUUAACAUGUUUUAUUGAAUUCUUAUAUCAUUGUCAUCACCCUCGUAUAUAUAUUUUUGAAAGUCAUCUGUGGCCUGUAGUGCAUAGAUGGACUUGGUAUGAUUAUGACCAGGGAUUAUUCGGUAUAAUCAUGACCGUAAUGUUACAAAUGAUGUCAUAAAAGUCCUCAUUGGUCCAUAGUGCAUUGAUGGACAGUUGUUGGCAUGAUCAUAACCAUUGAUGAAUACACGAAUAUCCUUGGCCUGUAGUGCAUGGAUAAUUAUUGGUCGUGACGCUAAUGAAUAUCCUUGGCCGUAGUGCAGGGAUGAUGUGGAUUAUUUAUUAAGCUGAGUCUCAGCGAUAAAAGUGAUGAAAAACGUUUUAAAUCAUAAAAGAUAGUAGAUUUUAUUCUCUACUUGACUCUUUUAAUGGAUUGCUUAUUCCGCUGCAGUUAAACUUGAUGUCUAUUGUAUUUUAUCAGUUUAACAUUGUUGAAGGCUAAUGAUAAUUUAUCAUGUAUUAUCUUAGUCAUAAUAUUUCUUACUGGGCUAGUUGAGCUCACCCUUUCUUUCACUGUUCUCUUCAGGAAAUGAGAAUAUAGCUUGGACGAGUCACGGAGUGACAGUCCAAAUGAUAGCAUUAGUAGUCCUCACUAUUCUAUUAAAUAGUGUGAUAAUAAAUGUAAUGAGGACUAAAUUUGAGUUUGUAUACUGUCUAUGAGGACUCCAUUGAGAGUGGAUAUUGUCUAGAAGGCAAUAUUCUUGCUUAAACUCUCAGUUUAUGUUUUGUCGUAUUUUACAUGACAGUUGUAUAAUUAAGUUGUAUUUGAUUUAUGUACCAUGUAUUUGACGACUCAAGAUGGGUGAUGUAUACCUAUUUUGGGGGCGUCACAGUUGGUAUCAAAGCUUAGGGAUAUGAUCCCUGGCUAAGAUGUGAGAUAAGAACUAGGAGGGGAGAGACGGGGAAUUCCUUCGCUAGUAUGACCUACCUAAGUUUAUUUGGUAUUUAAUUGGUUGGUCAGAGUAUAGGGAUAAUAUGUGAUAUGUUAAUUAACCCUUGUUUUGUGGCAGUAUUUGAAAAUGGCAUCCGAGAAUGCUGAGAACAUCAAUGGAGCACAGGAGACCGUUGAGUCUCCACUGAUCAAUAAUCAGGACAAUGUGCAUCAGGAAGGCGACAAUCCUCAUGCAAGCAACAACACUGACCAAAUGAUGAACGAUGGAAUGUUUCGAGGUUUUUGCAAUUCAUGCAACAUCAGGAGAGAACGGCUCCUGUCCAAAAUGCAGGUGGAAACACUGGCAACUCUCGGACGGUCACCGCCAAACAGUUCAAGGAGCUGGGACCACCGGAGUUUUUUGGAGAGCCAAAACCACUUAAGGCGGAGACGUGGAUUAAGCAGAUCAACAAGAUAUUUGAUGUCUUGGGAUGCUCCGAGGAGCAAAAGGUUCCCUUUGCCACCUUCAUAUUGCGGGCAGAGGCAGAUUACUGGUGGGAAUCUAUAAAGCGUACUCAACCUGCCGCACUGAAGAUGUCUUGCGAAAAGUUCCAAGAACUGUUCAACGACAAGUACUUUCCUGAAAGUAUUCGUCACAUGAAAGAGGUAGAGUUCAUCAAGCUGGAACAAAACAACAUGACCGUAUCGCAGUACGAAGCCAAGUUUGCUGAGUUGUCCAGGUUUGCGUUCCAUUUGGUUGAUAAUGAGGAGAGAAUGGCGCGAAUGUUUUUAAGAGGUUUGAAACCUAAGAUACGUCAAUAUCUUAUCUCUCAUAAACUAUAUUUGUAUUCAGAUGUUGUUAAUAGGGCUCAGUUAUUGGAGCGUGAUAAUGAGUCAACCUAACCAAAAGAGAGCAGCCGAUAAAAUGAUAAUACUAGUGAUAGCAGUUAUCGAAGCGGUGGCAAUAAGUGUGGAGGGAAUCAACAUGCCAGAAAUGGUAACCACUUCGGUGGUAAUCAUGGCGAAAAUAAUAAUAAUAGACAUUUCAAGAAGAGGAGAUUCAACAUGAUGGAAAGACGUCAGCACCAUCACCCGUUGUUAAAGAAGGAGAACGACUGCCUAUUAUAUGCUUCAAAUGAUGAGGGGAGGGACAUAUCAGUCCAAACUGCGCGAUGCCAUCCAAAGCAUGUUACAAUUGUGGAAGAAAAGGACACCUAGCCCAAUUUUGUCAUUCACCAAAGACAAGUUCAGCUACGAUGGAGGCACCAAAGGUCGUCCCAGAAAAGUCAAAACCGGUAGUGCAAGGGAGGGCGUUUUUCGUGACUUCUCAAAAAGCGAGUAACCCGAACGAAGUUAGCACGGGUUAGUUAAUUAUAAAUUCUUGCGAAGUCUAUGCCUUAUAAGAUACCGGUUCUACCCAUUAUUUUAUCUCUCUUGCUUGCGUUCAACGUUUAAAUUUGACUCCGGAGAAGUUAGACUUUGACUUAUUGGUUGAAACUUCGUUAGUAGGAGCCUUCGUUACCUCCACUGUUUAUAAAUCUUGUUGAUUCAAAUCGACAUUUUCACGUUACCUGUCGAUCUUAUCUCUUUGAAAAUACUUUCAUUUGAUGUGAUUUUAGGAAUCGAUUGGUUAACUACUCAUCAUGCUUUUCGUAAGGUUGUUAGCUUUUAUAUUCAUAACCAACCUGUUAUGCGAAUUCAAGCAACCAAACCACUAAAGUCAAUCACUGUCAUAUCAAGCCAUAUGUAAAGAGCCCCGAUCUUUUUGUUGUUGACUUCCUUGUGUGGAAUGCACCGAAGUCAGACUUUUUGUAGGCGACAUCGUGAAUGACGAUGGCAAGUUGAUAGGAAUCAAUGUGACGUGCUAUCCAAGUCUUGGAUGAGGAUCACAGUUUUGAAUGAUAUUUCUAUUAUUAAUAAAUUUCCUGGCGUAUUCUUGAAGACUUCCUAGCCUACCCCUAGAGCGUGAAAUCAAAUUUUGUAUUGACCCCAGUACAAAACCCUCAAAUAUUUAUGUACCUAAAACGAUCGUAUAAUGUGUCAAAGACGUUGGCUCGAGCUGUUGAAGAUUACGAUCGUACCAUUCAAUACCAUCGUGGAAAAGCGAACGUGGUAGCUGACGCGUUGAGUAGAAGAUCGUAUGCGUUUAUGAGUGCGAUGUUGUUAACACAAAAACCCAUUUCGUAUAACUUACAAAUGAUGAAGACAGAGUUAAAGACUCUAGGGAUCCACGUGAAGAUAACAAAUAUACGAUUAGAAUCGACUUUAAUCGAUAAAGUUAAAGACGCUCAAGUUACAUACUCAAAGAUGAUGAAUGUGAAAAAGAAGGUUCAAGAGGGCGUUAUUCUAGAAGCAAGAAUCGAUGAAGAGAGGAAAUCUCAACUCUCGAUUUAAUUGGCCCAUUUGAAAUCCUCGAUCGAGUAGGAACUGUGGCCUAUAGAAUCAUUUUACCACCAAGUAUGUUGCGUGUUCAUAACGUUUGUCAUGUAUCGAUGUUACGUAAAUAUGUGGACGACCCGAACCACAUUAUUGAUUUAGAACCAUACGAGAUAGCGAAUAAUUCAACGUAUGAAGAUGUACCUGUUAAAAUCCUAGAAUAUAUUCUAUGCUUAAAGGUUAUACCUUAAGAGAUAGGAUCUGACGAAGUGUCCUCAUCUGUUCGGCAUACCAAGUACGUACGUAAAUUUCGAGGGCGAAAUUUCAUAAGGAGGGGAGAUUGUGAGACCCCAAAUUUUACGAAUAAAGAUUUAAUUUUCUCGAAAUAUUUUUUUGAAUAUUAUGGUGUGAAUUUGAGAUAGUGUUAUAGUUGUGGGUAGUAUUUGAAAAUUUUGCAAAGUAUGCAAGUUGUCAUAUAAUAUUCGAUUGGUUGGGGAAUAUUUUUUUUGUCGGGGAAUAUUCGUACGAUGGCAUAAUCAUUGGUGGACCUCACAAUAGAAGUACUGUCGUAGUUAGAAAAUGACAAAGAUAUUUUAUGGAAAUAACGACGGAGGUUUUAUCGUUAAUACUGUUGAACUACCCGGUAGUAAAAGUACAGUAAUACGCGUGGUUGCAUAGUAGCACACGGUAUUGAUUAUUGAUGCUUACGUGAUAAGUCACUCAGUUAUACUCAAUUAUUGCUAUAGUAAUUGCUGCAUCAUAUCUCUCAUAUUAUUGAUUCGAUUAUUGUCACAGUAUCAUGUGCAUAAUAUGCUAUUUUAUUAAAUUAAUUAUUGAGACGAAAAAGUUAUUCAUAUUAUUAAAUUGCAAUAUUUACAAUGUCUAGAAGUUCUAUCAAAGAGAGGUUUGGUCACCUAAUUGCGCGCCAAUAGGGAGAAAUCCUUAUUGGAAAGCCCCCUCUUUCCUGGGAACAACCUGGUUGUUAAAUAUUGUGAGUUAUAAUAUUAAUGAUGAAUAAGUUCGUGUUGAUUAAAGAUGAAUUUGAUAAUUUCAUUAUGUUGGGAUUAUUUGUGUUAGUAGAAAUCGACAUCUAUUCCGAUGAUAAUUGAUGUCUGGAGGUUAUAUUGUUCAAUCGGGUAUUCGAGGAACUUUUCAUGUUGGAGUACUAUUCACGAGUUACUAUUCAUAAGUUACUAUUCACGAGUUACUAUUCAUGAGUUACUAUUCAUGAGUUACUAUUCUCGAGUUACUAUUCACCCAGUUACUAUUCACUCUAGUAUUGUGCAUUCGGGUAUUUGGGUACAAUAUUAUUCCAUGAGGAGAUGUGCUAAUUUUUCAGACCGUUGGUUGAAGUUAUAUUAGUGAAUCAAUAUGGACCGCUGGUGGAAAGUUAUAAUAGUGAAUCAAUAUGGAUUGCUGGUUUAAAGUUUUAAUAGUAAAUCAGUAUGGACCGUUGCUUUAAGUUUUAAUAGUAAAUCAAUCUGGACCGUCCGUUUAAAAGUAAAUCAAUCUUGACCGUUCAGGAAUUAUUUACUAUUCAAUCCAUUCUUUUAUAAAUAGAAGCUCAUUCCUUCAUUAUUUCUUACGAAUUCACUGAAACUCUAGAGAGAGAAAUUAUAGAGAGAAAGAAGAAGAGUAUUCUGCUACUUCACUACUUCGAUAUCCAGUGUCUUUUAUGGUAAGGGGUGUUAUUCUUUCUUAUUCAUGAAGAGAACUUCUGUUAUUGCAUUCUUUAUUAUUCUGUUGGAAUAACCUGUAUACGCGGCAUACCCUAUGCAUAACCUGUAUACGCGACAUACCCUAUACUUGGUGAAAUCCUUAUUUAUUCCAUUCAUUAUUAUUCUGUUGGAAUAACCUGUAUACGCGGCAUACCCUAUACAUAACCUGUAUACGUGGCAUACCCUAUACUUGGUGAAAUCCUUAUGUUAUUCCAUUCUUUAUUAUUCUGUUGGAAUAACCUGUAUACGCGGCAUACCCUAUACAUAAUCUGUAUACGCGGCAUACCUUAAACUUGGUGAAAUCCCUCUGUUAUUCCAUUCUAUAUUAUUAUGUUGGAAUAACCUGUUUAUACGAAGUACCGCAUACAUGGUGAAAUUCUUCUUUUAUUCCAUUCUAUAUUAUUAUGUUGGAAUAACCUGUUUAUGCGAAGUACCGUAUACAUGGUAAAAUUUUUCUAUUAUUCCAUUCUAUAUUAUUAUGUUGUAAUAACCGGUUUAUGCGAAGUACAACAUACGUGGUGAAAUUCUUCUGUUAUUCCGUUCUUUAUUAUUCUGUCAGAAUAUCCUGUCGGUGCGAAUUCCGCCUGACCUGGUUCCAUUAUUUAUUAUUUUGCAUUUAUUAUUCUGUCGGAAUAUCCUGUCUGUAAGUUCUACGCCGGAUCUGGUUUCAUUAUUUAUUAUUCCGCAUUUAUUAUUCUGUUAGAAUAUCUUGUCUGUGCGUUUUACGCCAGACCUGGUUUCGUCUUUAUCAUUCUGUUGGAAUAACCUGCCUGUGCUAUCUAUCACAUGCCUGGUGAUUUCUUUUAUUAUUCCAUUAUUUAUUAUACUCAGUUGGUUAAAUUUUUAACUUCUAUACUCCAUGAAAUUAGUGGAAUAUCCUUGAUAUUUGCGCUUCAUUCAAUAUAUUUUCAUAAAAAUAUUCUUCUGAGCAUUCUUGAAUUUAACUCUACAAAGAAGUAUCAUGUUGACAAUUUGGACGUUAUUAGUUCCUGAAUAAAUUAAUUCGUGAACUUGUUUUAUUGAAUUCUUAUAUCAUUGUCAUCAUCCUCGUGUUUAUAUUUUUGAAAGUCAUCUAUGGCCUGUAGUGCAUAGAUAGACUUGGUAUGAUUAUGACCAGGGAUUAUUCCGUAUAAUCAUGACUGUAAUGUUACAAAUGAUGUGAUAAAAGUCCUCGUUGGCCCAUAGUGCAUUGAUGGACAGUUGUUGGCAUGAUCAUGACCAUUGAUGAAUACACGAAUAUCCUUGGCCCGUAGUGCAUUGAUGGACAGUUGUUGGCAUGAUCAUGACCAUUGAUGAAUACACGAAUAUCCUUGGCCCGUAGUGCAUAGAUAAUUUGUGGUCAUGACGCUAAUGAAUAUCCUUGGUCGUAGUCCAGGGAUGAUGUGGAUUAUUUAUUAAGCUGAGUCUCAACGAUAAAAGUGAUGAAAAAAUGUUUUAAAUCAUAAAAGAUAGUAGAUUUUAUUCUCUACUUGACUCUUUUAAUGGAUUGCUUAUUCCGCUGCAGUUAAACUUGAUGUCUAUUGUAUUUUAUCAGUUUAACAUUGUUGAAGGCUAAUGAUAAUUUAUCCUGUAUUAUCUUAGUCAUAAUAUUUCUUACUGGGCUAGUUGAGCUCACCCUUUCUUUCACUGUUCUCUUCAUGAAAUGAGAAUAUAGCUGGGAUGAGUCGGGAAACGGAAUGACAGUCCAGAUGAUAGCAUUAGUAGUCCUCAUUAUUCUAUUAAAUUGUGUGAUAAUAAAUGUAAUAAGGACUGAAUUUGAGUUUGUAUACUGUCUAUGAGGAGUCCAUUGAGAGUGGAUAUUGUCUAGAAGGCAAUAUUCUUGCUUAAACUCUCAGUUUAUGUUUUUUCGUAUUUUACACGACAGUUGUAUAAUUAAGUUGUAUUUGAUUUAUGUACCAUGUAUUUGGCGACUCAAGAUGGGUGAUGUAUACCUAUUUUGGGGGCGUCACAUUCUCUGUUAAUCAAUAUGACUUAGCAUGCUAUUAUGUGUUAGUGAAGUAUGUGUACAUAUAUGGAACCUUUAAUGUCAGAUUUGAGUAUGUUUAAUCCAAGAAAAAUUAAAGUUAGUUGAUGAUCUACAAAACAGAGUAAGUUACUGGAGUUGAUCUAGGUAGGGCUCAGCUGCGUCGGACCCCAGAAUCAGUUUCUAGUUUCUGUUAUGCUAUGUUGUUGCUAAUUUGGUAUUAUAACAUAUAUAUACAUGAAAAAGAGGUAUAACAUGUUUUAUAAAGCUUUCUUACGUGGUAGGAAUUGCUUAACAUAAUUUAGUAAGAGAGUUUUAACAAAAACUUAAAGUUUUGAAAAUAAACUUUUAUGGAAUUUAUGUUCUGAACUUGAUGAUAUAUAUACAUGACUGAUUUCGAACAGAAAUAAGCAUGAUAUAGUGGUUAUAGUUCUUGUAUUCAUGACCAACUUGUUAGACCUUCUGUUAAAGAACUUGUUCAAGGCAAAGCUUGUUAUAUCAAAGCAAAUAUGCAUGAAUACUACAUGAUGUACAUUCUGAUCUUAAGAAGAUGUUAACAUGACUUAACUACAGAUGAUAAGAGUUUUAAAGUUGUCGUGUAUGUGAUGUAUUGCAUCAUUCAAGUUUAAAAUAAUUUCAAAGAUAAACUUGGAUAUAUUUUUUUAAAAACCAAGUUACAUUAAAUAUGAGUAUUUAGAUUCUAAAGAUUUAAGAUGUCAUGUUUAUGUCUCUAAACAUGGUUCUUGUGUGUUUGAUAUACUGGUAGUAGACUAAGCAUGAGUUUAAGUAUGUUUUUAAAGAGAUAUCAAUGCUAGUUAUGAAUAAAUGAUAUGAACACUAUGAUCAUAUGUAUUAAUAGAUUAAGUGAUCUCUAUGUGGACAUAUGGCUAAGUUAUAAAGUAUGGUGACUACAUGACCUUUUUAUGCUUUAAUUCUAUGUAAAUCGUAAACUAAAACUUGUAAAAGUGAACUCAAGAAUGGUCAUAUGUGUAUGUGAAGACCUCUAGCACAUAUGCAUGUUAAUUGUAAGUGUAUAUGUAUAUUAAAGUUGGACUAAAAUAAGGAGAGCAGAAGCUCAACUCUGGCCAGGUUAGAGGACAGCGCAGCUGCGCUAUCCCUAAGCCUAGCCAGGGCACAACUACGCCAUCCUGCAGUCAGUUAUGUAUUCUAUUUUUGGUCUGAAGUUUGAGGCAUGCUUAUAUGGUUACUUUAACUUGUAUUAUAUGACUAGUAUGCUAUGUAAUGUGUUAAGGAGCAUGAUAAGUGUGACGCCCCCAAAUCCGAGUUACCUGACAGCCAAGUUUGGUGCUCACGAUCCACAAUAUAAAUAACAUUUAACUACCCAUUUAAUUAUGAAUAGACAUAUAAACCACAUUAACUGAUAUAGUUAAUACAUUCGUCCCAGGUUAUCUAACCUUUAUAUUAUAAACAUACCCUUUAGAUAUACAAAAAGGAUUUACAAAAACAACAUAAUAUAUAUGUUAAACACAAUUAUCACAGCAUAACACCUUUGCCUUUUAUCUUCACAGCUCCUCUAGCUUCUCCGUCCCUAGCUAAAAUGUUUUAUUUAGCAAGGGUGAGAAACAAAUUUGCCCCGCAAGUUAAGAUAUACAAUAAAUGUAUCAAAAUCAAGACAAUAAACUAUCUAAUUCGAUAGAAUGACUCCAAAGUUCGGGGAACUUUGAAAUAGCUGAACAAUUUGUUCUUCUCUAAGUAAUCUUCUCGUAACCUAUGCAACAAAUUAACGAAAGUAUACAAUGCUUUCAAUGUUUCUACGAUAUUCUAAUGAAUAAUCAAGAAUCAAUUCUACGCAAUAGCAAAGUGGAAUGUUUUCCAGAUUUAUGUUGAGUGAUCACACAAGAUCUAGAACUUCUCUUCUGAGGUAGAUAUCAAAGAUUUACUUUGAUAUAUACUCAGGUGUAUCAGAUAACCAUAAAGAUUAAAUCAUACCCCUCUGCAAGUAUAACAAGUGAUCAGCUUUAUUAUACCCUUAUAUUAUGCAUAAUACUUAAACAUAGCGCGCAAUAGUCGAAUUUAUGACCAAUAAAAUGUUCCAUUUAUAUAAAAGGUUGUUCUUCUCAGUCUCAUAAUUAAGAUUUGAUUCAACAACGAAAUUUAAUGAUUUCAAUAUCUAAUCACUUCUCUUCUCUCUCAAAUCUAUCAAGUUUUCUUUUUUGAUCUAGCCGAAACAAUUGGCAUCGACCUAUCAAUAAUAUUUGAAUUUUCUUCUUUUCUCUUCUCUUCUCAACCUUAUCAGGUUUUAACAAAUGUUCGUCUUGCCAGAACUGUAGCGCCCCCAAAUCUGGGUCCUAAAUCACAACGGAUCUGGUACACUAGUUCUAACUAUUGCGGAAGAUAUAAACAUAAAUUAUUUAUACAUUAAACAUUAUAUACGAAUCCCAAGGUCGAGUAACCAUAACUUAUACACAAUUCAUUAUCCUAUCUAACAUACAAAGAUUUUAUUAUACAUUAUUGUUACCAAUCUAUCUGCACAUGUAAACUAAAGUUGGAAAUGUCUUUAACCUUUCCUUGUAUCCGACGCAUUCACCUUAAUCUGCAAUGUUUUAUCAUGAUAUAGCAAGGGUGAGCAUGAAGGUUGCCCAACAUGUUUAUAUUUUAUUUAAGGAUAUAUCAUAAUUGAAAGAGUCUGAAUAAUAAGCUGGCUAUAAUUCAACAAUGUAGUUGUGAAUUAGCACGAAUAAACUUUUGACUGAACAAGUAUUAAACAUGAACAAAUAUAUCUGAACCGAACGGUAAUGAAGGUGAUCAGCCUUUCAUACCUGACUUAUACAUGCAAUAUGUACAAAGUACAAUUCUACAAUGACAAUCAGCAAUGAUUAACCAUAAGUAUAUCUGAAUGAAACAACUCUUAGUAGAGUUAAGAAAAACUUGCCUGUUUCGUUGAUUACCAUUACGAAAUAUAACUUAGCUUUAUUCGAAGACCCAAUAUAGAUAAUACCGAUCUCCAAAUAUUAGAAUAAUAUUAUCACAGUAUAAAAUAACCUAAACACAUUACCACAUAAUCCUAUCAGUCUAUACAGCACAUAAGACCUAGUAUUAAGUCAAACUAUUACAGUCUGAGUUGAGUUCAGUACUAUUCCGACAUCCCGAUUGCCUAAUCGAACAAAAAUCGAGGUUAAGUUCAAUUAAACUCUACCUAAACACUUAACAAUUAUCUUAGGUAAUUUAUUAAUCAGUCAAAAUAAUUUUCAUAGGCCCAUAAUAAUUUUCAGAUAAUUAUUACUAUUUAUCAUGAUUUUUCAAUCAUUAAUAUCAUAUUUAUAUGAUUUAAAUACCACUUAAUUCUAUUAUCAUUAAUAUUUAUUUAAUAUUAAAUAUUAAUGAAAUCCUUAACAUAAUAUUAUAAUAUAUUUAUAAUAUCUCAAAGUAUUUUUAAUACUUUAUUAUUACCAUUAAAUGAUUUUAAAGUAAUUAAAACUAUUAUUAAUUAUUUGCCAUUAAUAUUAGAAUAUUAAUAUUUUUCAUGACAAAAUAUCAAAAGUUAUAUUUUAUAACUUAAAAUAUUUUUAUAACACUUAUAUUAUUUUUAUAUAAUUUUUAAAGCAUAAAUUCUAUUUUUCCAUAAUUUAUUUAAUAAAUUAAUUACCAUUAAUAUUAAUUUAUUAAUGAAAUUCAUCACAAAAUAUUAAAAGUCAUAAAAAAUAACUUAAAAUAUUUUCUUAUACCAUAAUAUAAUUUGAAAUGAUUUUUCAAGUAUUAAAAUUAUUUUUAAAUAAUUUAUUUAAUAUUAUAAUUAAAUAAAUUAAAUACCAUUUAUAUUCCAAAAAUAUUAAAUAUNNNNNNNNNNNNNNNNNNNNNNNNNNNNNNNNNNNNNNNNNNNNNNNNNNNNNNNNNNNNNNNNNNNNNNNNNNNNNNNNNNNNNNNNNNNNNNNNNNNNUUUUAGGAAUUUAUUAUGUAUUUUUAAUAAUUAAAAACUAUUUUUAUCUAUUUAAUAAGUACAAUAAUUAAUUUUCAUAAAUAAACUGUCACUAAAGGGGCCUAUAGCGAUAGAACCGUCGCUAUAGAUAUUCUUGAGUGUUCUUAAGCCUUCAUGUCAGUGGACAAGGUGAUAGGGUUGACCAACUGUAAUUCAUAGAUCCGGAGAUAUCUGGGUUUGAUUAAGUGUUCAAAUUAUAGUGUUGAUGCAAUACUACAACCCUAAACAAACAGCAUGGCUAUCUUAUAUCUAAUCAGAGAGAUCUGGGCUCUCAAAGAUCUUGUCAAGCCUCAUCUGGGGUUUUUAGGUAAUCCAGAAACCUAGACGUUUGCGAGGUACCGCUUUGUGGUUCAAUUUUCUUAGUGUUCUGGUCAACGAAUCAAUGUUAUUAAGGUUCACAUAUAUAGUACACGUGACAAGGAACAUUUACAUGUCUUGAUCUCAGUUUAACAACAACGCGUUUUAAGAAAUCAAGGCUAGUCAAAGUCUGACAAAAAAAUGGUUCUUAAACAAAUCUGGAUUUUCCAGAUUGUUCAUCCGGCUGAUGGUCAACGGUUGUUUGACCGGCCAAAUCUCCUAUUCUGUUAUGGAUCUAAGUGAUCUAAAGGUUUUAGCAUGAAGUCUUCAAAUCAGUCUACAACAACAAAACAAUAACAUGGCCAAAACAUUAUCAUAGAGCAAGAUCAAGGGCUUUAAAAAUCUUGUCAGACCACCUAGAAAAAUUCUGGGUUGCCCAGAUUCAAAUUUUCGUGCUCGGUCAACGCAUUUUGACCGAUCAUAUCUUUCAAUAUAAACAUGAUAUGGGCUUGCUUCAAGUUUCAGAUUAAAGCCUUUGCUACAAAGAAUAGAUCUAUAACAUCAAACACACCAAAACAUUAACAGGAAAAGAUCUAAGGCCUAUGACAUAUGGAUGUCAGGCCAUAUUUUUAAACUUUUCCAGAUUUUUGAAAUCUUUAAAUUCUUGCAUCCAGAUGUUAUAGAUCCUUGAUCUAAUAACCCAGAUCACUUAUUAACAUCCUAAUACACAACAUAAAACAAUAAACCACAAAAUCUAACAUAAGAUCAUAUGAUUUACAAAAUUUAGGGUUUAUACCUCAUUCAUGCUUUGAUCUUGAAUCUAAUCUUUGUGAUCUGUUCCUGGCUUGCUAAUGCUCUUACUAGUGACUGAUUUACUUAAUAUUUUCAUGGCUAAGGAGAGAGAAAAGUUUGGUUGAGUGUAAGGAUGCAAAUGAGCUUAGUUUUAUGACUUUCCCUCUCUUUGAUCUAUAUAUAAAAUGAUGAAAUGUCAAGGGCUGAUCAUGUGAUCAGUUGUUGGCUGAUUAAAGUUGAUUUCUAGGCCACAAGGCUAGCUUAGGGUUGGUCACCAACCACAAGUAGGGUUAGAUCUACACUCCACCUCAUUAAAAUAUUAAAAAGGGUAGUUUGGUCAUUUGACUUAUAAAGUGAAUGGCAACAUGGUAACUUCUCACAACUAUUAGGUUUUGACCCUUAGGGUUUAACACUAAGGUUACAUAAAUUUAUAUUCUAGGCUUUUCUAAUUAAGUUUUAAAAAUAGAAAAUUAAGAUUUCUAAAUUAUAAUUAGGAUUUCCUAAUUACAUUAAAAUUUCCUAAUCACAUUCAAGCUUGCCAAUUAAGGUUAAUAUUUCUUUAAUUAAAAUUGCUAAUUUAGCAUCUAGGUUCCAUAAUUGUACAUUAGGGUUUCCAGUUGAAUAAUUAGGGUUUUCUAAUAAUCAAUUAGGGUAAUCCCUAAUUAAAUAAAUAACAUAAAAACCUUAACACUUAUCUUCAAGCUUCCCAAUUAGGGUUUUAAUAUUCUGAAUUAGGGUUUCAGAUUCUCAGAACUGAAAUUAGGGUUUUCAUAGCCGGUAAUAGAGUUUCUUAUCAAUCGUUAGGGUUUUCUAACUGAACGUCGAGGUUCUUAAUAUAUUAUUAGGGUUUGUGACUGAUAUAAUUUAUCCAGUCAACCCUUGACCCUUAACCACAUACUAUACACACAUAUGACCAUAUACACAAAUACUCUUAACACUGUAAACCUUCACCAAAAGUUUUUAAAUUCACAAAAUUCAUUCCCAAAAAUGUCAAAUACAUACACUUAUUUUCUGUCUAGGUUUAUUAUUUAACCUCUAUUCAAUCUUUUAAGAGUUUAUUAAAUUGUCAAAAUUCUCGGGUUGUCACAAGAACAAUUGGCUAAGACAUUUCUCAACAUGACUUAACAAUAGACAAAAUUUGACUGUACUAUUUGCAAUCACUAAUAGCUUCUACGGAUGUAAGUAUCCAAUAACAAUUAUUCUACAAAUAUAUAUUCUCAAAAUCACUAAUUCAAUUUGAAUUAAUAAACCUACACUAACUGUGAAUAAUCAACAAUAAAUUCUCAGGCAUAGCUUAUUCACAAUAAUUAACCACCAUAAUAUUUGAAAAGAUAUAACUCAAGGUUGAGUUAGGAAACUUCCUUCUCCGUUGAUUACUGCUACACACUAUACUUAUCUGCGUUCAAAUGACCUAUAAUCAUAAUAUCAGUCUCACAAUUAUCACGUUAAUUCACAACACACAAUACUGUAAUUUACAGUCAAUCUUUCUCCUAGGCACAUUAGCACAUAGUCACAUUAGUGUUUAUAACCUAUAUAAACACUUAACAAGUCUAUCUAGUUCGGUCUGAUUGGACUUUGGUCUAUUCUCGGUGUUCUGGUCACCCUAUCUGACAAUUAACACAUUGAUUGUCAACUAAACUCGAUCUCUAAGUUUCAAUAUUAUUUUAAAUAAUUCAAAUAUCAUUUAUAAUAUUUUUCGGAAGCUUUUAAUAAUUUUCUAAAAAUUAUUAUAUUUUAUAAUAAUUUUUCAAACACUGAAAUUAUUUUUAAAUGAUUUAAAUAUCAAAUAAAUCCAUCAUCAUUAAUAUUUAAUAAUAUUAAAAUAUUAAAGACAUACCUGUCAAAAUAUUAAAAUUAUUUAUAAUAACUUAAAAUAUUUUUAAAUCACCAAUAUUCUACUUAAAUGAUUUAUAAAGUAAUUAAAAUCAUUUUUAAAUUAUCACCAUUAAUAUUUAAAUAUUAAUGAAAUUAUCAUCAAAAUAUACAAAGUCAUUAAUUAUAACUUAAAAUAUUUUUAUAUCACUUUUCUCAUUUUUUAAUAAUUUUUAAAUUAAUAAAACCUUUUUACCAUCAUUUAUUUAAUUUAAUAAUUAAAUAAACCUAAUAUCAUAAAUAUUAAUUUAUUAAUGAGAAUUCGCUAAAAUAUUGAAAAUUAUAUUUUAUAAAUUAAAAUAUUUUCUAACACUUUAUUCUCAUCUAAAAUAAUUUUUAAUAUAUUAAAAUCAUUUUUCUCUAAUUUAUUUAAUACACUAAUUAAAUAAAUUAAAUAUCCUUAAUAUUCAAAUAAAUAUAAAUAUUAAUGAAAAAUAUCCCAAAUACUCAAAAAUUAUUUUUCAUUAUUUAAAAUAAUUUUUAAAACCAUUUUUUUGUAUUUUUUAUAAUUUAUUUUCUAUAUUUAAUCAUUUUCCGGAAAUUAGGAAAAUAAAAUUAAAUAAACCGUCGCUAUAGGCCUGUAGCGACACUUGUCUGUCAUCUUAGUUGUUCUUGGCUCAAGAACACUGACAAGGUCAAUGUUCAAGGUGCUCUGUUUGACCGAAUAUAAUUCUCUUCCCAAAUUGUUUUUGGGCUACCUAAAGCUUCAAUCAUGUAAUAAACAUGUAGUACUACAAGUUCUAAUCCUCACUUGAACCAUUUAAUCACACAUCAUGAAGAUCUAAGCUCACAAAGUUCUUGUCAGACGGUUUCUGGGUUUUCCCAGAAACCCAGCAGUCCGAGUGGACACUUUCAAGAUUAAUUUCCUAUAAUUAGUUCCAGCCUUGAUUCAAGUAAUAUAAUGGUUCCUAUAUGAAGUCCUUAUGUCAUAGAACAUUCACAAAGCAACAUAUCAGUUUAACAACAACAGGAUUACAAGAUAUGAUCCGGUCAAAGGCUGUCAAAACUAUGUUCUUUACAGUUUAUGGAAAUUCCAAAAACUGCAAAACGUGACCGAGUGGCUUGGUUUGACCACUCAUUACGUUCAAUAUAUUGAUGUUUUGAAGGGUCUAAAUACAUGGAUCUAAAGUCCAUCGUACAAGCUACGAACUGAACUGCAUAUAACCAUAUCAUUAUAUCACAUAAAUCCUGACAGUUCUUGGCUUGGCAAAGUGUUGUCAGACGCUAGUUACACACUUUCUAGGUUACCCAAAAAGUGUUGGUUAUGCUCAGUCAACUCUCUUUGACCAUCAAUAAAAUAAAAUCUGGACAUGUAAUGGUUGUGAUUUCACUUCCAGAUUACAGUCCUCAUGUCAAACAACAAAUCCAAAACAUAAAACAAGAAAAAUCACAAACAUACAGAGAUCUAUGGCUACUGACAUUUGCUUGUCAGAGCACUAAGAAUGCUCAAGAAUAGUUUUUGAAAACAUAAAUUUUUAACCACUUUGAUGCUAUGGAUCCAUGAUGGAUCAACAUAGAUCAUCUAAAAACAUCUUAUAACACUUAUAAAAACAUAAAAACACAAAUUUUGACAAAGCCUACAAGAUCAAAGUGAAGUAGGGUUUUAUACCUUUCUAGCCCAAAUCUUUGAUCUAUGCUCUUCAAUCUGACUUUAGGUGUUCUAGGAGGUUAAUAAGUGACUGAGGAACUUGUUAAAUUCGGAGGUGUUGAGAGAGAAUGAGUUACUGAGAGCUAAGUUGAAAAAUAAGCUAAAUGUAGUAAUUUUCUCUCUCUCAAAUCUAUAUAUAUCAAGAUAUAUUGCUAGAUUUGAUGCUAGCUGUCAAUUGGAGGCUGAUUGCUAAGAUUUUAGAAGUCACAAAGUCAAGUGGUUAGGUUACCAACUCCAAUAUUUGCUAGAUUUGCAAAACUUUGUCCACUAGGUAGUCAUGUCAUUGGAAAUACUCCUUGUGCCAUAAAAGCGAGUACAACUUCGAAGCCAUGGUACGAUGAGCUGGAGAAGAUAGAACAAGAGAGUGUUGUGUCCGACAAACCUCAAUGACAGAAUAUAUUCGCAGACACAAUGGAGAAAACACCUAGAUGUUGGACGUUCUUGAAUGUGAUCUUAGCUAAAGAAAGCAUGCUAGGUGACUUUAAUACAAUUGAUAUCACAAAUGGGAACCUACCAAAAGCUAUAUUAUUUUCGAUGGAUGGAGGGUUCCUCAACUUUCGAAGAGGAAUUGGUUAGUGUUGACAAGACAAAGUUAGGCUGAAAGACUGUAAAUCAAGCGCUGACUGGGAGGCAACCCAGAAAUUUUUUAUUUUUUUUAUAUUUAUAUGCUUUCCUAGUUUAUUUAGUAGAUAGGAAUCAUGUUAUAUUCUAAAGUGCUAAUCUAAUCCAUGUUGUCUCUCUUCAUUGCAAGUAUUGGAGGUUCAAUGGAUAGGAAAAUGAUCGUCACUGCCGUCGCCACCAUCACUUCACGCUUAGCUAAUUACAGGGAAGUUCUCUUCUACGUACCGCUAUAUUCUUACAAUGAGGACAUUGUAAUUGCUCAGUUUGGGGGAGUUUAGUUUAGUUCUUUAUUGCAUGUUUAGUUUCAUGUUUAUGUUAUGUUAUUUUGCAUAUGUUGUUAAUUUAGUUUAGGUUCAUUAUGUUUGCAUUCAUGUAGUACAACUGCAUAAGUAGUUUCAUAGUAGUAUAGUUUGAAUAGCAUUAUAUUCAGUUUCUUGUUAAAAAAAAUCAAAAAUAAUAGUUAGUUACUAUGUUCAUCUUGCAUGAUUACAGUUAUUAGAUGGUUCAGUUUAUUUUGGCCAAUGAUGAGAAUGGAAUUGAGUAGGCAAGUAUAGUACUGACUAUUAGAGCUUUGAUGUGUUUUCUUGUUAUAAACUGAAUCUUUUUCUGUUUGAAACUGGUAUAAUCAAGGUUAACACGAUAGGAACAACUAUGUUGACUGUUUAAGUUUAAAUUGGAAAAUAAUGGACUUCUUAAGGAUAAUAUUAGUUUGAAUGAAUAUAAGACAUGAAAAGGCGUAGAUGACUGAAUUUAGACAAAAACUUAAGUUUGGGUGAAAAAUUUGGGAUAUAUAAGCUUUAAAAAAAUGAUGAAUGAUGAAAAAGAUACCGUAACUAGUUUUGUUUCGGGACCUUUGUUACUUGAGCAAGUACACCCGAGGGAGUGUCUUUACACCUAGCGCCCUAAGGUCUUAUAUGGUCUGGGAGUCGUUGGUCGAAAUCUCGCUAAGGGGUAGCACUGUUAGCCUAAUNNNNNNNNNNNNNNNNNNNNNNNNNNNNNNNNNNNNNNNNNNNNNNNNNNNNNNNNNNNNNNNNNNNNNNNNNNNNNNNNNNNNNNNNNNNNNNNNNNNNAAUGAGACAUUUCACAGUCAUGGUUAUCAAAAAAAAAAGAAAAAAGAAAAAAAACAAUAAGACGAGAAUAGUUCAAAAAGCCCCGUAAUGCAAAGUAAAGCAUAAGUAUCCCGGAUUGGACUUUUGAACUUGGUGGAUGUUUGAAUUUUGUUGGAUUUAGCUUGUUCGUGAAUUUUGUGAGUUUGCACUGUAUGAUUCCUUUAAAGAGAUCAAUUAUGUGUUGUAUUUAGCAUUAUAUCAGUUAGCAUGGAUGUUGAGCACACACGCACUAUACCAGUAAUAACAGUUUAAGACUUGAUGAUUGACUAGGAAAUUGUUGAUUGGUUUUGAUAUGAAGUAUUGUCGUGUUUGCUUGAUUGCUCUAAGGCCGAGUGAAUAGAUUUGAUUCUAUCAAUACUGCUGGAUUCGUAAGCAUAUAGAUGAGUUGCAUUUCAUUUCAUUGCAUUGCAUUGCAUUAUGUUGUGUUGCUUGGGGACAAGCAAUGGUUUAAGUUUGGGGGUAUUUGAUAAGUAGAUUUUAUACUUACUUAUCCGGUAUCUUUUACUUGAAUUAGUUGCUUAUAUUCAUGUGACUUAGUUACUUUUCAUGCAUUUGUGUUCAUUUUGUAGGUUAUAUGUUUGGGAGCGGUGUGAGCGACUAUUUGUAAGGAAAAGCAAGGAAAUCGCAAAGAAAAGCAAAUCAGACAUCAUUUGGGCUUUCAUGUUCAAUUCAUGUCAUUGUCUUGGAACUUGGACUAUAUUUUAGAGCUUCUUCUUAGCUUUCCGGAAUAUCUUGAAUCAUUCCAAUCGGAGUUCGGAUGCAAGAGUUAUGACAUCUGUACCAACGGACGUUGAAUUUCACUGUUUUGGGUGGUCAUUUGCAUAACAGUCAGUUCCAGUCCAAUUUCGACCUUCCUCCGUUCCUUAUUUCUCAAAACUCAAAGAAUGAAAGUUGUAGAGCUUGGCGAUAGCUUCGAUUUGAUAGGUGGCAGGCCCCGUAACUCCUCCCGGAUCAAAGGUUAUGACCAUUUUACCAGAAGACACUGCAACAGAAAAAACAAUUAGCAGCUUGCACCCAAGCCGAUGCUUGGGGUCCUGAGCUCAAAAUCAGUAGCAUAGCAAGCCGGGCCUUGCUAUUUACAAGGAAAUACCCAAGCUGGGGCUUGGGUAUGCGUAGAAAAGGCAAUUUUAACUAAAAUUUGAGUCCAAGAGGGAUUGUUUCGAGAUGAUUGAUUCAAGGCUUCUAAGAGGACUUAAAGACUUAUGAAGAGGCGUAUAAAAGGAGGAGAAUCACAAGGAUUAAAAGAGGAAUAGAGGAAGAAUUCUAUUAGAUUAGUUUAUAUUAGAUUAGGAAAAAAUCCUAUUUAUUAUGAGAUUUGAAGAUUGAAGUGACUUGGAGACCAUUGAAGAUCAAGAGCAGGAGCUUGAGGAAGAUGGAGAUUUGCUGACAAUAGAUUUAUUCUUCACUCUACUUCUAUUUUUAUCUUUUAAUGUUUAUUCAAGUGUGUAUACUUAGUUUUAAUUCAAUGAACUAAUUCUUUGUUUGAGAUUACAAUGGAUCUUAUUGUGUAAUUUAUUUUAAUAUGUUUUUUUUUAUCAAUUAUUGUGAUCUAUCAUUGUGGAUUGUCUAUUGUGAUUUGGACUUAAUUGCUUAAUUGCCUAACUAACAAUUACCGUGAUAAUCUAUAUGAACUCGAGAGAUGAAGUAUAAAUUUAGAUUUGAUCAUGAUAGCAUAUGUUUGUGAUUUCUGCAUAGAUGGAAUUCAUGAUUCGUGUUUAGGAUAGAGAUAUGUCUUUACGCCAUAUGUAAUCUUAUAGAGAACUUGUGCUUUAAAUCCUUUUUAAUUUUAAUUCACAUAGAGAUAUAGUGGAUUAGUUAAUUAGGGUGUCUUGCUUAAUUCUAUCAAUUGUGGAUUUAAGUGAGUAUGGGUAUUAUGCAUCGAGAGGUGGUUUUAUCUGCUUUAGUGUUCUUGAUUAACAAUUCAGGAUAGAAAAUAAUUGAUGAGAAGUGUGUUAACUUAAAUGAAGCAAUAAGUGAAGUUGUGAUCUUAAAUCUCCAUAAUGUGAUUUAUAAUUAGUGGUAAUUAGAAUUAGUUUAAUUAAGUAAUUUACUUUAUAACAUUAAAUUGAUUGUUUAAAUAAAAUUAGUUUGGUUAAAAAUUAGUAUUUGGUAAUUUGUAUAAUAAUUCCUCGUGGGAACGAUACUCUACUUUCACUGUAUUACUUGUUGACCACGUAUACUUGCGUUUUGUGCGUAAUUAGAUUUUACCCAACAAUACGUUAAGAAGGGUCCGUAUAGUCUAAAUGACUGUUAAGGUUGGGUAAUAAUACCUAAGCACCGGGGACAUAGUUCGUGGUCUUAGGACCCUUAGAUAAUUAAAGUUCUAACUUGUUUUCUAUUUUGAUUUGUAGAACAAGUUUCUUAUUGUUCAGCGUUCGUUGUUCACUCUCAUGUUACUAUCAUUGCUACUUUCUAUAUCAGUGAGCAAUUGUUUGCUCACUCUUGCAUUUAACACUGCAGCUAAAGUUGAGAAAGUCGAUGAGCCGUCUACUAGCAAAGGAAAGGGCAAGAUGUCCAAAUGUUGAAGACAUAUGAUAAUUUUAUUUUAAUGAAUUAUGUUAAAGACUUGUUUUAAUAUAUGAUGUAUUCCGCAAACUGAUGUAAUAAUUUUAAGGUUAUAAUACCUGGAAUUUAUUUUUAGAUGAUGAUGUAACCCUUUAAUGGGAAAGACACUACACCAAAAAUGGCCUCUAGUGAGGGACAAAUCCUUCACUAGAGGCCCUAUAUCAUUCACAAGUAAUUUAUUGCAAAAAAUUAUUUCCUUCACACAAGUGUUCGCAUUAGACCUCCUCGCAAUUGUGUAUCCUUUGCUAAAUAGUAACUAAAUAUUUUUUGUGAAUAACUUUUUUAUUCACAAAUUGUAUUUAGUAAUGGAAUAUUGUUAUUUAGUGAAAGAUUGGUUUUCUUCACAAAUAAUAUUUUAAAAAGGACUAUUUGAAAUUGGUGAAUAACUUUAUUCCCUCACAAAUAAUAUAUUGUGAAGAACAAAUUUAUUUAACGAGAGAAAAUUUUCUUUCACUAAUUAUAAAUUGAGAAUGCAUCUUCAAAUUAGUGAUAAAAAUAAUCCUUCAUUGAUGACUAACUAAUUAACUAGAAAAGAUUUAGUGAGGAAAAUAAUCCUUCAUUAAAAUCCAUUUCUCAAGUAAAAUCAUUCGCAAAUUAUAAAUUUAUAUAAAAAAAUUAAUUGAUAAACAAUCAAAAUUCAUUGCAAAUUAUAAUUAAUUUUUAAAUCAGUGAUUUCAUAUUUAUUAUUAUUAUUAAAUGCUAUAAUAAAUAUUAAAUUUAAUAUUUCAAGUUAAUAUAAAUGUCAUACUUGUUUCAAACUAAUUGAUAAACUGCAUAAAGAGUCAAAAAUUAAAACUAAUACUCCAUAUAUAAAUAGGUAAUACUCAAGUCACGAUAAGUACAAAAUUUGUUAUUGUAUCUUGAUCUCCCAAAGAUCAUAGUACUUAUAAUAUUUAAUAACUAACAUAAGAAAACUGAAAAAAUAACGAGCUAGAAGGAAUGAAAUGUACGUCCUAAACAGAAAGCAUUCCUCCAGCCAUACCAGGCAUGGAAACAUCUGGCAUGCCACGACCUGGUGGGUAACGAUAGACACGCCCCCUUGGAAGCAUCUAUUGUCCAAACAAGCCAUCAGAUGAAGAAGAAUGAAUAUGACUAUAAAUGCAGAAACUGGAAGGAAAACAUAAGUUAGACAUUCCACCAACCUGCUGCUGCAUUAGUGGAACAGGCUGUUGUGGUUGCUGCCCAGUAACAGAUUCGGUACGUCUUCCCCCAGGACGCUGACCUUACUGGCCCUGCUGAACCGGUGGCACAAAAUAAUUCGGCAUGGGAGCUCCACCAUGCCUCAUACCUGGAACAAGUUGCUGCUGAUAUCCAAAACCAGGCUGACAAGAGGAAAACAAACAACAAAAUUAUCAUAACUAUGAAAGAAUACAUCUCAAGGCUUUGACAAAGAGAACUAUGUUGUCAUGCAGUGAAGGCAUGUUCAAACUUCAAACAUAUUAAAAAAAUUCAACAAAUUAUUAAAAGUAGUGAUUAUUGUUUAUGUAAAUUCCUAAUGGUAACCUUUAAAUGGAACAGAAUGGAGUGCAACAUCCCUAGUUAUUCUGUCCUGAUAAUCUGAAGUAUCCUUCUUAUUCGUCACAACAUUAUGACAUCAUUACAUGUGGAAUAAGGAAAUCUAAACCCACAUUAAUAACAUAAAAAAGAUAUGAACAAGAACAUAAAUACAGAGUGAACAGUAGUAAAGUGUUAAAUUGGAUGGACUGGAAUUUAUCUGUUUGGUGGAUCUGCUUGCCAAUUCACAUGAUACUGGACUGGGGACAAAAUAAGUGAGAGUUUCAAACAUAAUAAAAAAAUUAUCCAACUAAAUUGGGAAACUCCCAUAUGGUGUUGGAUGUUCAGUGGAUUUUUAAACAGAAAAACAAAGACUGAACACUGAUAAUUUCUAAAAUCAAAUAGUUUUAACUAUUUUCGAAUGGUGACAAGGCUCUUAUUGUCCUCUGAACUCUUUUAUUUGUACAUUUUUCUUAGGGGAAGAAUUUGAUCCAUGAGAUCUAAACACAAAAUGAAAACCAAAAAUCUUCCACUUUAUUUGAUUAUUUUAAAAAAUAAAAAUAAAUUAUUACAUGUCAAUUUUACAUCUUUCUGCAACCUAACCAACUCAUGUUUAUCUUGUCUUAGCGAAAAUUAAGGAGUUGUUUAAGCUUAUAAAACCUUAAAAUAUUUAUGUUUACUUACUAUAGGGACCAAUUUAUUUAUCUUUUAAAAAUAACAAUAAACACAAGUGUAAUGUCUACCUUGAUUUCAGUUUGCAUACAACCAUGUAGAGCAACAACUGUGUAUCCAAAACGGCAAAGAACGGCUCCCAAUUUUACAUACUGCAUCCCAGGGAAUUUGUAGCAAUGUCUCAAGUGUCUUGGUUCCCACCUUGCAUGUAGUGCCUGCACCAUUUAAUACAAACACAUGCAAAAUAUAAAGAAUGUAUUGCAUAAAUUGGUAUUCAUUAUAAUUCCAUUGCAUUUACUAUACUGGAGUGUGCAUAUACGUGCACUUAUCAGGAAAGAACUUACCAAGGUCUCAUCAUAAUACUUUGAGUCCAGAACAUCUAUAUACCCCUUGUAAAUGGGAUCCUCCUCGGAUUGCCUUUGUUUAUUUCUGGCUCUUCAUCAUUGAAGUAUCUAGAGACGCAUGAUGAAAAGUUUCACAGUUAGUGAAUGAGCAUUUUUGCCAUCCAUUACAAAAAAACUAAAAGAUUUGUCUUGCUGAUAAAUUAUAUUGAUCAAGUAGACACGUGUUCAUUAGUCGAAAGAUCAUCAUCCUUGAAAUUUCACUAUUGAGGAAAUCAAUUGGGUGACUCAAAUGAUUAUAAAGUAACUAGGACAUUAGCAUGCUCAGCCAAGUGACAGGACUUCUAAAUACUUUAAUUCAAUAUAAUUGACAAGUCAAGUUUAAGGUUAAAAAAUAGAGAAAAAGAAAAAAGAAUUGGAAUAUAACAAAAUAUAUUGAAUUUUGUAUAUAUAUAUAUACACACACACACACACCUUCAAUUGAAUUGGAUAAUCCUUCAAGUUUGCAUACGGUGGAAUUAUGGAGGUCUUCUCCAGAUGAAUUUGGAAAUAUUAAGACGCUCAUGAAAAGGCAGGUACAACAACCAAUGGCGAUAGUGUAGAAACGCUCAUGUACAAUCUUUAAUACAUUAUCAACACGGUAGGUUGAAAUAGCAAACAGAUUAAAGGUCAAGAGGAAUAUUACUACGUUAUAAUCAAAGUUCUUUUUUAUAUAAGGGAAGAAUCUCACAUAUGUAGUUGAUGCCCCUGUCAAAUUUGAAAAUCUUCUAUUAACAAUAAAACUAUCUGGAUGGAUGAACGCCAGUUAAAGCAAGCCGACAAAAGAAUGCAAGUAAAAACACGUGUUUGAAUCCAUUAAAAUUAUUAAGCAAACUUCCUCUAGUUCAACAGAUAAUAUAAAGGAAGGCUUAAUAAGGAUUAUUAGGGAUGAACCAGAAGAUAUUAACAAAUAGCUCUCUCAUUACCCGUCAUCACCCCAUUCGGGAUGGAUCCUCUGGAAGUGGUCAAAAAUAGGCCACAAGUCCUUCUGCCUUAUUUCAAUCUCUUGAGUUGGAAGCUUUUCCAUUUCAAUCUCUCUGCCAUUAUGCACAAUACUGAGAUUUUCCUCUUCAAAUCCCAGAUAAUUCAGUGCAUAAAAUGAUAUCUAGAACAGAUGGGAAAAUCAUAAGCACGUAUUGGAAGACAUUCAUGUGAUGGGAGCAUUAAAGAUUGAGAACUGCAACAAAUACCUUGGACUUUUGCCAAACUUGUCUCCUUCCAGAUCUCAUCUGCACCUCCGUAUUUGAAAUAUAUGAAAUGGAUCGAUCAUGGGGUUUCAUCAUAUCCUUUUCCCCACUAUCAUGAUCUUCAUAAUCAGAAUUAUCCAUCACUAAUUCUGCAGCACCUUAUCUGCAAAGAGUACUCCGGCAUAUGAAUUCCUCUCUAUCAGGCCAAUCUAUUCUUUGGCAAACGUCCCACCAUUGAACAGGACCAACUGUCACAAUCUUAAUUGCAAACAAGGUUAUUCAUUAACCAUGACAGUUAUAGCCAACCAAAACAAAAUUAAAGAUAAAAGCUCACAUAUACUCACAUACAUAUGGUACCAGUUAGAUGAGAGAACUACAAAAUAGUUACAACUUAACAUAUGUAUAAACAUGUACUACACUUUAGUCAUAAAAGCAAAAGAGUGACAAAGUAUUUUUCAACUUCUAUAUUGCUGCAUUUUUUAUUUCACGUGUGAAUACAUGCUAAGGUUGAAUCAUGCAAAAUUUCUGUGAAUCAGUAUAGGUACACACCUUUUGGAAAAAUACUUAUAAAAUCUAAAACCAAACAUAAGAUAACAAAUCUAGUGAGUGAGUAAAGGAGAAGGUCACCACAGGCUACAUACUUCCUCCGCCUUAAAAUUUAUAAUGUACUUUCCCAAUCCCAGUGAAUGCAACAAGCCCUCAAAAGUAUGUUGUUCGUCAAUCUAUGUAGUAAAGUAACCAAUAAGAAAAGAAACACAUUAAGAACAUACAUUUAAUUAACAAACACUUCGUUAAUGAUAAGCAACAUGACCAAGAGGAAAAAGAAAAGGUAAUCAAGGGAAAUAGCUUUGUACUGUAUAUGAACUUUUGUGUACAAUGACACCAGGUGGAGGAGGUGUGGCUAGCAUGGGAGUCACGUGCUUUGCAGGUCCAGCAGCUACAACCAGUUUUGCCAUAUAAGAUGUUGUCCCCAUGGGCCUAGAGAGCUCAAGACCAUCUUUGCACAAAUAUGCAGCUGAUCUAACAUCAUCAUAUGCCCUGAUUAUUGGCCUUCUCCGUGAUUUUUCCUCAUUCCUUGGCAGUGAGGCACCUCUAGAAGUACCAAAAACUCCAUUUGGUGAUCUUCUCCUUAAACGAUUCAAUGUCCAGGGUGAAUAAGAAUUUUUUAAUGAACUUAUUUGAGGCAGGACGUCUACACCUCUUGCAGAAGGGAUCCUCCCCAUUAUACUUGCGCCAGUAGAAUCGAGUAAGCGUUAUCUAUCAUCCCUUAUCUCGGGAAUGUGUUGUCUAUCAACCCUUGUCUCAGGCAUUCGCUCUAUAACCUCCCUCACCUCAGGAAUCCGCUCUAUAACCUCCCUCAUCUCGGGCAUCCGUUCUCUAACCUCUCUGGUCUCAAGCAUCCUCUGUCUAACAUCCCUAGUCUCGGGCAUCCUCUGUCUAACAUCCUUGAUCUCUGGAAUCCUCUGUCUGACAUCCCUAGUCUCUAGCAUCCUCUGUCUAACAUCCCUGGUCUCUGGAAUGUGUUGCCUAACAUCCCUUAUUUCUGGCAUUAGUUGCUUAACUUCAUUUCUAUCAGGCAUGUACUGUCUACUAUUCUUUUCCUUGGGCCUGAGCUGCUGCAUACCUAGACUAGUUAUUGAGGGUUAGGCUGGCCCUGAUAGCAUUUCACGUAGGUCAACUCCAUUUUGCUGGCCAUCACUUUGAGUUUGCUUAUUUCCGCUUUUACACAAGAUUUUGUAUCGGAGAUCAUCUUUGCGAAGAUGCACAUCUUUAUGUAUUCAAAGGCAACAAAAUGAGAAAUGAUAAUUAGAUCAAAUUUUAAUAAUACAACAUAACAAUAAUGCUUAUUAGCUAGUUACCAUCUAUGCUAUCAGCAGAACUUGUGCUCAAUCUAUUAUUGUCGCCCCGAUGCCUGCCAAAAUGUGUACCAAAGUAAAGAUAACUGCUAAAAUGGCAUAAGAUGCCCAAAAAAUAUUCAAGUUCAGCUAAAUAUUCUCAAAAUUUAAAGGAAUCAAUGAGAUUGGACCCCAAUAAUCUCAAUAAAGUUUAUGAUCCUAAAAGACCACACCCCUUCUGAUUUCUACCAUCUACCUCAGAUAUCAGCAUUAGAUUGCACAAGAUCUAACUAGCUGGAAAAUUAUUCUAACAAUUCAGGUAGGAACAUAAAAAGGUCCAAUUUAUGUUCCUAUGCAUGAGGUUGUCAUGUAUCAUCAUGAUGUCCCCAAGUGUUCCUUCAUCCUAUCGCUAGAAUGUAAGUGUAGCCUCAGCACCAAAAGUGUAAGUGUAGCCUCAACACCAAGAGUGUAAGUGUAGCCACAACAUCAAGGAAAAACUUGAGCAUUGGAGAAGGUAAUGCACACGCAGAACACCCAAUUAAUGUGCAGAACACAUGUCAUCUAUAAAUUCUUUUAUAAAACUCAGCAACAAUCUUUGAAGAUGCGCCUCACAAAAACAUGAUGGAUAGUAAGGCAGGUGAUUACAACUUUGAACUUAAUCAAGCUACGGAACUCAAUAACAAAUGUCCUUCAAGCAGAAUUUAGGUAAUAGACAAGGAGCUUGUCGACAUCUGUAUACUAUAUGUGGAGUGGAAGAGCAACCUUCACAUAAUAAGCACAAUGGCAAUGAUCCAGCGAUUUAAAAUGAUAAAGAAGCUGACUAAAGCAAAGGUCAUUCUCAAGAAUAGGUUCAAACAGAACUAUGCAAACCAAAUAAUAUGUCUGAACUUUGGUCCCACUAGAAAGAAUCCUACAUAUAUAAGAAUAUUGUCUAGGCUAAGCUAUGAAUUUAAAUGUGACAACUUAUUAUUUUGAUGUUGUAUCCUGGCGUCAAUUGUGCAGUUUGUUUCUAAGAAUCUCAGACUUUAUGGUUAAGCCUUCAUAAAUUUAUGUUUUUUUCCCAUUGCUUUGUAGAUGAAAGAGCACAUUCCCUUCCUUAAAUUUUUAUAAGAUUAUUCAAUUAGCUUACUAUGGAGUAACGCAUAAAAACAAACACGUAUACACCCUCACCAUUCUAACUAUGACACAAAAUCAAAUACAUCCACAGAAUUUCCAGCUUGAGUUACAGCUUAUAUGGAAAGAAAAUCUUACAAUUCAAAAUCUAUUACUCAACAGUAGAAAUAUGCCUAAGUUUUUCACUCUGGGUAAAUAAUAGGAAAAAUUAUUAUUCUCCGCUAUAAAUCACUAUAUACAUAGAGAGUUGAGCUAAGCCUUAAUAAUGGAAACUCAAGGGAGGGAGGGAACAACACACCUUUUAUUGUUGAACUCCAUAUUAGUUCCUAGUCUAUGACGGAUAGAUCUCUUACUUCCAUCAGUUGGAUGUGAAUUAGAAAAGACGUUAUCCAAUUCAUCCCCAGCCCUCUUUAACACCUGUGAAACUAAUGUAAAUACUCACAACUCAAUAAUAAACACACAACUAUUCAAUCAGAAAUAUUGAUUCAACUCUUCGAAAAUUACCCCAAUUUUAUUCAACUACUUGCAUCAAUGUUGAUAAAACAUUAAACUUUAUGAACAUAACACUAGCUAUAGUUGCAGCAAUUCAAUGAAACAUUCAGAUAGAACCGAAUAUUACUUAGUCAUCAAAAACUUAUGGCAAAAGUUUGUGCAUUUUACAACUAGAAGAAAUAAAACCCUAUCUAAUGGGUAAAUAGUGAGAAAGAGAGAAAUUAAUUAAAAGAGGAUAAUUGUACCUGACCACUACGUCCGAGAGUGAUUGUGACUUGAGACCUCGAAGUCUUUACCAUUUUCUAUGGGAUUCAGAAGCUCCAAAACCUUAAUCAAUCAUUUAUAAGCCAAAAUUUGAAAUGUAGACAUCAUAUAUGGAUCAAUUGCAGAGAGCCCCCUAAGCAGCCUGAGAUUAAAAUCAGUAUCGAGAACGACGAGCAAAAAAAGUUGCAGCUAUUAGGGUUUAGUUUUUAGCAUGUGAAUGUGUGUGACAGAGAUGAAUAGGUGUUUGUGUAAUUGUGUUUGUGCUUAUGUGCGCUUGUCAAUACAAUAAUGAAAAAUUGAAGGAAAAUAAUCAGAGUUAAUGGGAAAAUAACAACACAGGGAAAGGAUUGAGCGAAACCUUGAUCUCGCUUGAUCUGGCUUGCUUCCUAUCUCGCUUGCUUCCCUUUCUCGUACGGGUCACGCACGCUACUUUACUCUUUCUUCUUUUUUUUUUGAAACAAGCACAGUACUGUAUUUCAAAUAAAUAAAGUUAAGUUUUUUUUGAUUUUUUCGUUUAGUACCGAACUAAUUAAAAAUAAAAUUAAAUAAUCCUAAAAUCUUUCUUAAUUAAAGCCCUCCCAAAUUGUUAUUUAACUGAAUAUUAAAUACAAUACCAAAAAAUAAAGUUACUUUAAAUUAAUCUCCAAAAGAUUUUUUUGGAUUAAUAUUAUAUACUUAAAAUAAAAUUUAAAGUCUUUUGAAUUAUUUAAUUUUAUUUUUAUUUAACUUUAACUUUAUUUAAUUAUGAUCAUAAAAAUAAACUUUUAUGGAGAAAUUUUAAAGUUUAACAUAGUGUAAAGUUAUUUACUUUAUAGUUUAUUUAAAUAAAUAGUUGAUAUUAUAAGUUACUUAAAAAGUAUUAUUAAAAUUAAAUUUACUAUUGUAAAAAAUUUAAGGUAUUUAUAUUCACCACAAUUAAAUCAAAAAAACUUAUUUAGAACAAGAUAGCGACCAAUUUUAUCCCUCGCAAAAAAUUUCUGAAUAAUGAUAUUGAUUAGUAGAUUUUAUACCUACUUAUCUGGUAUCUUUUACUUGAAUUAGUUGCUUAUAUUCAUGUGUCUUAGUUACAUUUCAUGCAUUUUGAGUUCAUUUUGUAGGUUAUAUGUUUGGGACCGGUGUGAGCGACUAUUGGUAAGGAAAAGCAAGGAAAUCGCAAAGAAUUGGUAGGAAAACGCAAAGAAAAGCAAUCUAGACAUCAUUUGGGCUUUUAUGUUCAUUUUAUGUUCUUGGCUUGGAACUUGGACUACAUUGUAUAGCUUCUUCUUAGCUUUCCGGAACAUCUUGAAUCAUUCCAAUCGGAGUUUGGAUGCAAGAGUUAUGACAUUUGUACCAACGGACGUUGAAUUUCGCUGUUUUGGGUGGUCAUUUGCAUAGUAGUCACUUCCAGUCCAAUUUUGACCUUCAUCUGUUCGUUAUUUCACAAUUCUUUAAGACUUAAAGUUGUAGAUCUCGUCGAUAGCUUCGAUUUGAUAGGUGGCAGGCCCCUUAACUCCUCCCGGAUCAAAGGUUAUGGCCAUUUUACCAGAGGACACUGCAGCAGAAAAAACAAAUAGCAGCUUGCACCCAAGCCGGUGCUUGCUCUUCUAAGCCUUAUACCCAAGCCGGAGCUUGUGGUCCUGAGUUCAAAAUCAGAAGCAUAGCAAGCCGGGGCUUGUUAUUUACAAGGAAAUACCCAAGGUGGGGCUUGGGUAUGCGUAGAAAAGGCAAUUUUAACUAGAAUUUGAGUUCAAGAAGGAUUGAUUCGAGUUGUUUGAUUCAAGGACUUCCAAGAGGACUUAAAGACAUAUAAGGAAGCUUAUAAAAGGAGGAGAUUUAAAAGGAUUAGAAAAAGUUUUUGGAAGAAUCCCAUUAGAUUAGAUUAGAGUAGAUUGGGAAAAACCCUAGUUCUUAUUAGAUUUGGAGAUUGAAGCAACUUGGAGACCAUUGAAGAUUCAAAGUAGGAGCAAGGAGAGAGCAUCAAAUCUACAGACAAUAGAUUCUAUCUUCUUAUCUUCUUCUAUCUUUGUCUUUUAAUGUUUAUUCAAGUUUGGAUUCUUAGUUUUAAUUCCAUGAACUAAUUCUUUGCUUGAGAUUACAAUGGAUCUUAUUGUGUAGUUUAUUUUAAUAUGUUUUUUUUAUCAAUUACUGUGAUCUAUCAUUGUGGAUUUUGUAUUGUGAUUUGAACUUAAUUGCUUAAUUGUCUAGCUAACAAUUACCGUGAUAAUCUAUAUGAACUCGAGAGAUGAAGUAUAGAUUUAGAUCUGAUCAUGAUAGCAUGUAUUUGUGAUUUCUGCAUAGAUUGAAUUCAUGAUUCGUGUUUAGGAUAGAGAUAUGCCUUUAAACCAUAUGUAAUCUUAUAGAGAACUUGUGCUUUAAAUCCUUUUUAAUUGUAAUUCACAUAGAGAUAUAGUCGAUUAAUUAAUUAGGGUGUCUUGCUUAAUUCUAUCAUUUGUGGAUUUAAGUGAGUAUGAGUAUUAUGCAUCAAGAGGUGGUUUUAUCUGCUUUAGUGUUCUUGAUUAAUAAUUCAGGAUAGAGAAUAAUUGAUGAAAAGUGUGUUAACUUAAAUGAAGCAAUAAGUGAAGUUCUGAUCUUAAAUCUCCAUAAUCUGAUUUGUAAUUAGGGGUAAUUAGAAUUAGUUUAAUUAAAUAAUUUAAUUCAUAACAUUAAAUUGAUUGUUUAAAUAAAAUUAGUUUGGUUAAGAGUUAGUAUUUGGUAAUUUGUAUUAAUAAUUUCUCGUGGGAACGAUACUCUACUUUCACUGUAUUACUUGUUAACCACAUAUACUUGUGUGCUGUGCGUAACUAGAUUUUAUCCAACAAGUUUUUGGAGCCGUUGCCGGGGAAUUAGUUUAAUACAUUUUUGCCAAUAUUAGCUUCAAUCAAAUUAGUCUUAAUUUAAACAUUUUUUUCUUUUUCUUUCUUUAUAUUUUAUUUUAUUAUCUUCUUAUUUUUCUCUCAUUUCAGGUACAAUGGCUGGAUGCAAUUAUGAAAGGCCAUAUUCGAGUAUGUCUCAACCAAGGGGAGCGAGGAUUGAUGGACUCAAUAUAUUUUCUACAUUGUCAGCAGAAAUUGCAACACUUUCGGAGAGGUUGGAUGUUCUUGCAGCCCAACGUACUCGGGAGAUAGUAGUUACAUGUGAAUAUUGUGCUGGCUAGCAUCCGAGUUAUUAGUGCAACAUUAGUGUUGGACAAGUACAGUUUGGGGGUGAAUACCUCAAUAGCUAUGUUAAUCCUAAUUAUCAUCAAGGUUGGGGGUAUCACCUAGAUUAUGAAUGGAGUGAUAACUAUCAAGACCAAUACUGCAUUCCAAGUCCAACAUAUCCAUCAAAUUUCUCAAAUCCACCUCCAAUGCGACAAGAAGAUAAUUCAGAGUUGAAGGAAUUCAAAUUAAGGAUUAUAGCAGAAAAUGAAGAGAUGAUAAUGAGUCAGGAGUUAUCAACCCAAAAUCUUAAUAGACAGUUGGAACAACUCAUUAACUCCUCAAUAAAUGGUCCUCAAUACAUGGAUUUCGAAACUGAACAAGAUAAUUCAAGAUUGAAGGAUUUGCGGUUCAAGUUUGUAGCAUCAACUGAGGAGAAGAUGAUUAAGCAAGAGAGGUCAAUUCAAAAUUUGCAGAAUCAGAUGGAUUAAAUGUUCGAAGCGUUGAACAAUCGCCCUUAAAACAAUUUGUACUAUGACAUGGGUGAUGAAACGGAUGGAGAGCUAGAAGUGUACCUGCCACUAGAUGAACUGAAAGGAGUAGACAUUGAGGAGACAACUAGGGGUUUGGAAAAUGAAGAAUAUCAGAUCACCUAUAUUAUACCCCAAAUAUCUUCUCAACCAGAGUUGAAAAAUCCAAUGAGUUUUGCACACCCAUGUCCCCUUGGUAGUCAUAUCCAAGGCAAUGAUAAGUAUGAUAAAGAGGCCUCGUAUACACCAUGGUGGGCUGAGGAAGAGAAAAUAAAAGAGAAAAAGUCCAUAAUACUUUCCAUGCCUCAAUGCAACAAUUUAUUCCCAAAUACAAUGGAUGAGACACCUAGCUAUGCAAUGGAACUAGAAACAUCAUGUACAGGAAUUAUGCUAGGUUAUUUCAAUUAACAGAUUAGUAAGAUGGGAAACCUACCUAUAUACAGUGCAAUUCUAAUGGAUGGAGGAAUCCUAACUUAUCGUAGGGGAAUUGGAUAGCGUUGACCAGACAAAGUCAGGCUGAAAGACUAUAAAUCAAGCGUUGACUGGGAGGCAACCCAGGAAUUUUUUUUAUAUUUAUAUGCUUUCCUAGUUUAUUUAGUAGAUAGGAAUCACGUUAUAUUCCAAAGUUCUAUUCUAAUCCAUGUUGUCUCUCUUCAUUGCAGGUAUUGGAGGUUCAAUGGAUAGGGAAAUGAUCGUCGCUGCCAUCCCCACCAUCACCUCAUGCUUAGCUGAUUACAGGGAAGUUCUCUUCUACUUACCGCUAUAUUCUUACAAUGAGGACAUUGUAAUUUCUAUGUUUGGGGGAGUUUAGUUUAGUUCUUUAUUGCAUGUUUAGUUUCAUGUUUAUGUUAUAUUAUUUUGCAUAUGUUGUUAAUUUAGUUUAGGUUUAUUAUGUUUGCAUUCAUGUAGUACAAUUGCAUAAGUAGUUGCAUAGUAGUAUAGUUUGAAUAGCAUUAUAUUCAGUUCUUGUCAAAAAAAUGAAAAAUUCAAAAAUAAUAGUUAGUUACUAUGUUCAUCUUGCAUUAGUCCAGCUGUUUGAUAGUUACAGUUUAUUUUGGCCAAUGAUGAGAAUGGGAUUGAGUAGCCAAGUAUAGUAUCGACUAUUAGAACUUUGAUGUAAUUUCUUGUUAUGAAUUGAAUCUUUUCCUAUUUGAAACUGGUAUAAUAAGGAUAACACAUUAAUAACAACUAUGUUGACUAAUUAAGUUUAAAUUGAUACAUAAUGGACUUCUUAAGGAUAAUAUUAGUUUGAAUAAAUGAAAGACAUGAACAGGCGGAGAUGGCUAAAUUUAGACAAAAACUUAAGUUUGGGGGAAAACUUUGGGAUACAUAAGCUUAAAAAAAGAAAAAAAAGAAAAAAAAACAAUAAAAAAAUGAUGAAAAAAAAUAUUGUGGCUAGUCUUGUUUCGGGGCCUUUGUUACUUUAGCAAGUACGCCCGAGGGGAUUGUCUUUACAACUAGCGCCCUAAGGUCUUAUAUGGUCUGGGAGUCGUUGGUCAAAAGCUCGCUAAGGGGUAACACUGUUAGCCUAAUGGAAUGAGACAUUGCACAGUCAUGGUUGAAAAAAUAAUAAUAAUAAAAUGGGAAAAGAGCAAAAAGCCCCCGUAAUGCAAAGUAAAGCAUAAGUAUCCCGGAUUGGACUCUUGAAUUUGGUGGAAGUUUGACUUUAGUUUGAUCUAGCUUGUUCAUGAAUUUUGUGAGUUUACACUGUAUGAUGCCUUUAAAGAGAUCUAUUAUGUGUUGUAUUUAGCAUUAUAUCAGUUAGCAUGAAUGUUAAGCACACACGCACUAUACCAGUAAUAACAGUUUGAGAUUUGAUGAUUAAUAGGAAUUAUUGAUUUGUUUUGAUAUGAUGUAUUAUCAUGUUUUCUUGAUUUCUCUAAGUCCGAAUGAAUAGAUUUGAUUCUAUCAAUACUACUAGAUUCGUAGGCAUAUAGAUUAGUUGCAUUUCAUUAUAUUGAAUUGCAUUAUGUUGUGUUGCUUGGGGACAAGCAACGGUUUAAGUUUGGGGGUAUUUGAUAAGUAGAUUUUAUACCUACUUAUUCAGUAUCUUUAACUUGAAUUUGUUGCUUAUAUUCAUGUGUCUUAGUUACUUUUCAUGCAUGUUGUGUUCAUUUUGUAGGUUAUAUGUUUGGGAGCGGUGUGAGCGAUUAUUGGUAAAGAAAAGCAAGGAAAUCGCAAAGAAUUGGUAGAAAAACGCAAAUAAAAGCAAUCUGGACAUCAUUUAGGCUUUUAUGUUCAUUUUAUGUUCUUGGCUUGGAACUUAGACUAUAUUUUAUAGCUUCUUCUUAGAUUUCCAGAACAUCUUGAAUCAUUCCAAUCGGAGUUCGGAUGCAAGAGUUAUGACAUUUGUACCAACGGACGUUGAAUUUCGCUGUUUUGGGUGGUCAUUUGCAUAACAGUCACUUCUAGUCCAAUUUCGACCUUCCUCUGUUCGUUAUUUCUCAAUUCGUAAAGAAUGAAAGUUUUAGAUCUCGUCGAUAGCUUCGAUUUGAAAGGUUAUGACCAUUUUACCAGAGGACACUGCAGCAGAAAAAACAAAUAGCAGCUUGCACCCAAGCCGGUGCUUGCUCUUUUAAGCCUUAAACCCAAGCCGGAGCUUGGGGUCCUGAGUUCAAAAUCAGAAGCAUAGCAAGCCGGGGCUUGCUAUUUACAAUGCAAUACCCAAGCUGGGGCUUGGGUAUGCGUAGAAAAGGCAAUUUUAACUAGAAUUUGAGUUUAAGAUGGAUUGAUUCGAGUUGUUUGAUUCAAGGACUUCCAAGAGGACUUAAAGACAUAUAAGGAAGCUUAUAAAAGGAGGAGAUUUACAAGGAUUAGAAAAAGUUUUUGGAAAAAUUCUAUUAGAUUAGAUUAGAGUAGAUUGGGAAAAACCCUAGUUCUUAUUAGAUUUGGAGAUUGAAGCAACUUGGAGACCAUUGAAGAUUCAAAGUAGGAGCAAGGAGAGAGCAUCAAAUCUAUAGACAAUAGAUUCUAUCUUCUUAUCUUCUUCUAUCUUUGUCUUUUAAUGUUUAUUCAAGUUUGGAUUAUUAGUUUUAAUUCCAUAAACUAAUUCUUUGUUUGAGAUUACAAUGGAUCUUAUUGUGUAGAUAAUUUUAAUAUGCUUCACUAUCAAUUAUUAUGUUAUAUUGUGAGGAUUGUCUAUUGUGAUUUGAACUUAAUUGCUUAAUUUCCUACCUAACAAUUAUCGUGAUAAUCUAUAUGAACUCGAGAGAUGAAGUAUAGAUUUAGAUCUGAUCAUGAUAGCAUGUGUUUGUGAUUUCUGCAUAGAUAGAAUUCAUGAUUCGUGUUUAGGAUAGAGAUAUGCCUUUACGCCAUAUGUAAUCUUAUAGAGAAUUUGUGCUUUAAAUCCUUUUUAAUUGUAAUUCACAUAGAGAUAUAGUGGAUUAGUUAAUUAGGGUGUCUUGCUUAAUUCUAUCAUUUGUGGAUUUAAGUGAGUAUGUGUAUUAUGCAUCGAGAGGUGGUUUUAUCUGCUUUAGUGUUCUUGAUUAACAAUUCAGGAUAGAGAAUAAUUGAUAAAAAGUGUGUUAACUUAAAUGAAGCAAUACGUGAAGUUCUGAUCUUAAAUCUCCAUAAUCUGAUUUGUAAUUAGGGGUAAUUAGAAUUAGUUUAAUUAAAUAAUUUAAUUCAUAACAUUAAAUUGAUUGUUUAAAUAAAAUUAGUUUGGUUAAGAGUUAGUAUUUGGUAAUUUGUAUUAAUAAUUCCUCAUGAGAACGAUACUCUACUUUCACUAUAUUACUUGUUGACCACGUAUACUUGCGUGUUGUGCGUAACUAGAUUUUACCCAACAGAUAUAUAGUGAGUAAUAAUUCCUUCACUAAAUAGAUUUUUUCCUCGCAAAUUUUUAUCAUAACUUGGCUCCAAAAAUCUUUCUAUCGCCCCAAUUUUGCGAGAAAAAAAAUAUAAAUUGUGAAGGAUGUUUCUUUCGCUAAUAACUAUAUUGUCACUAUACUUUUGUCAUUCAUUGUUCCUUCGCUAAAUAGCUCCUCAUGUGAAGGAAUAAAUUCCUUCAAAAAAUUUCCUUCGCUAGAGGCCAUUUUUGGUGUAGUGAGAUGAUUGUUUAAGUUAUUUAAAUUACGUCUGUAUCCUUUGAUUAUAGGUAGUUAGAUGUAAUGUUUUGGACAGUGAACACCAAAUCCCGUGGGAAUGGAGUACCUGGAUUUGGGGGUGUCACAAUAAACUUAUCUACUUUUGAAAGACCUAUAACCAAUAAUAUCGGUCUCACAAUUAGCAAAAUUAUUCACAACACGCAUCACUGUAUUCUACAGUCAAACUUCACCUAGACACAUUACCAUAUAGCCACAUUAGUGUUUAUAACCUAUAUAAACAUUUAUCAAGUCUAACUAUUUCGGUCUAGUUGGACUUCGGUCUAUUCUCGGUGUUCUGGUCACCUUAUCCGACAAUUAACACAGUUAUUGUCAAUUAAAUUUGGUCUCUAAGCUUCAAUAUCAUUUUAGAUAAGUCAAUUAUCCAUUAUAAUAUUUUUCGGAAGCUUUUCAUAAUUAAUAAUCAAUUAUUAUAAAUUAUAAUAAUUUUUCAAACACUAAAAUCAUUUUUAAAAGAUUUAAUUAUCAAAUAACCUUAUCAUCAUUAAUAUUUAAUAAUAUUAAAAUAAUAAUUACAUACUGGUCAAAAUAUUAAAGUUAUUUUUAAGAACUUAAAAUAUUUUUAAAUCAACAAUAUUCUACUUAAAUGAUUUUUUAAGUAAUUAAAAUUAUUUUUAAAUGAUCACCAUUAAUAUUUAAAUAUUAAUGAAUUAUCAUUCAAAUAUUAAAAGUCAUUAAUUAUAAAUUAAAACAUUUUUAAAUCAUUUUUCUCAUUUUUAAAUGAUUUUUAAUUCAAUAAAACUAUUUUUAAUUUAUUUAUUUAAUAUAAUAAUUAAAUAAAUCCAAUAUCAUUAAUAUUAAUUUAUUAAUGAAAAUUCUCCAAAAAUAUUGAAAAUUAUAUUUUAAAAUUCAAAAUAUUUUCUAACACUUUAUUCUCCUUUAAAAUGAUUUUUAAAAUAUAAAAAUCAUUUUUAACUCAUUUAUUUAAUAUAAUAAUUAAAUAAAUCUAAUAUCAUUAAAAUUAAAUUAUUAAUGAAAAUUCUUCAAAAAUAUUAAAAGUUUUAUUUUAUAACUCACAAUAUUUUUAAAUACAUUAUUCUUAUUUAAAAUGAUUUUUAUAUAAUUAAAAUUAUUUUUCUCUAAUUUAUUUAAUAUACUAAUUAAAUAAAUUAAAUACCUUUAAUAUUUAAAUAAUUAUAAAUAUUAAAGAAAAAUAUUCCAAUUAGUCAAAAAUUAUUUUUCAUAAUUUAAAAUAAUUUGUAAAACCGUUUUUAAUAAUUUUUAUAAUUUAUUUCUAUUUUUUAUUAAUUUUCAGAAAUUCAUAAAUUAAAAUAAUUAGAAACUGUCGCUGAAGCUUUUUGCGACACAAUUUUUGAAAAACACCAUUUUAAAGCAUUUUGAUGCUAUGGAUCUAUGAUAGAUCAACAUAUAACAUCUAAAAACAUCAUAUAACACAUGAUUAAACACUUUAACACAAAUUUUCUCUUAGCAUACAAGAUCAAAAUGAAGUAGGGUUUUAUACCUUUCUAGACAAAUCUUUGAUCUUAUAUCUCCAAUAUGAUAUUAGGUGACCGAGGGGCUGAUUAUAUGACUGAGGAACUUUAAGAAUUUGAAGGUGUUGAGAGAGAAUGAGUUGGUGAGAGCUAGGUUUAAAAAAUAAGGUAAUGUAGUAACUUUCUCUCUCCCAAAUCUAUAUAUAUGAUGAUAUAGAACUCUAGAUUUGAUAUUACUGGCUGAUAUUUCUAGAUUUUAUGUCACAAAGUCAAGGAAUUAGGUUACCAACUAAAGUUGCUAGCAAUUUCUACAAGUCACCCAUUAAAGAAAUGAAAAAGGGCAUUUUGGUCAAUGCACAUGUAAUUUUAAUGGCAAACUAGACAUUAUCUAAACCCUUAGGGUUUAACCCUUAGGUUUUAAAACACUAACUUUCUAGGAUUUUCUAAUUAAGGUUUUAAAUUAGAAAAAUUAAGAUUUUAAAACUAUAAUUAAGGUUUCCUAAUUAAAUUAGGUUUUCCUGAUCAUAUUAAUGUUUAAUAAUUACAUUAGGCUUGCCAACUAGGAUUAGGGUUGCCUAAUUAGGGUUUAGGAAUCCCGAAUUUUAAAUUAGGGUUUCCCGGCGUACAAUUAGGGUUUUUAACUGUACAUUUGGUUUUCCAAAUCAGAGAUUAGAGUUUCUAAUCCCUUAUUAGGUUUACAAUAUAAAACCCUAUCCAGUCAAUUAUUAGACAUUAACUUUAUACAGUACAAGCACAUACUCACAGUUACUGAUAUUAUAACUGUGAUUUCUGUCGAAUCCUUAUCCAGAAAUUAAUUAGGGUUAGGGUUUUUAAAGCUGUUAAGUACAACUCCACUCCAAUUUCUCAGUCAAUACACAAAUUGACCAUACCUCGAGACUCGUAUCACAGAUACACCGUACAAUAUUAACAGUCAAUGUCAAUAUUAAAUAAAAAAAAUUAUUCGUAAAUUUUGGAUUAUUCAAAAUCCUGGGUUAUUACAGCAACUACAUUGGCUUUUCCAUGGUGAUACAUAAUUUCAAAGUCGUAAUCCUUUAUCAACUCCAGCCAUCUCCUCUAUCUCAUAUUCAACUCCUUUUGUGUUAAGAUAUAUUUUAGACUCUUAUAGUCCGUGUAUAUCUCACAUUUUUCUCCAUAAAGAUAAUGUCACCAUAUCUUUAAGGCAAAAGCUACUGUGGCUAGUCCAGAUCAUGAGUAGGGUAAACUUUCUCAUAAUCCUUCAACUGCCUUGAUGCAUACGCAAUGACCUUGCCAUGCUGCAUGAGCACGCAACCAAGUCCUCUAUGUGAAGCAUCGCUAUAAACUACGAAAUUUCCUAUGUCAUCGGGUAAUGACAAAACGGGCGCUUCACUCAACCUCUUCUUCAGUUCUUGAAAACUGUACUCACAUUUAUCAGUCCACACGUAUUUCACUGUCUUCCUUGUCAAGUUAGUCAAUGGAGUAGCUAUCUUUGAAAACUCCUGGAUGAAUCUCCGAUAGUAUCCCGCUAACCUUAAGAAACUCCGCAUCUCAGUCGGCGUUUUUGGUUGUUCGCAAUUUAUCACGGCUUCCACCUUCGCUGGAUCUACCGAAAUCCCCUCAUGGUCAAUGUCAUGACCUAAAAACUUUACCUUUUCCAAAAUUUUGCAUAUAACUUCUCAUUUCUCAAUGUCUCAAACACUAUUCUUAGGUGUUCAACAUGAUCUUCUGGCGUCUUAGAAUAGACUAGAAUAUCAUCAAUAAACACCACAACGAACUUGUCCAAAUAUUGUUUGAACACUCUGUUCAUCAUAUCCAUAAAUGCAGUUGAUGCAUUAGUCAACCCAAAUGACAUCACCAGAAACUCGUAAUGACCGUAACGAGUCCUGAAUGUCGUCUUUGGUACAUCCUCCUUCCUAACCUUCAACUGGUGAUAACUAGUCCUUAAAUCUAUUUUUUAAAAAAUACUUAGCCCCUUUCAACUGAUCAAAAAGAUCAUCGAUCCUGGACAAUGGGUAUUUAUUCUUUAUCGUUAACUUGUUCAACUCUCUGUAGUCGAUACAAAUUCUUAAUGAUCUGUCCUUCUUCUUUAAAAAUAGUACCGGUGCUCCCCACGGUAAAAAACUCGGUUGUAUGUACUUCUUGUCCAAUAGUUCUUGUAACUGUACCAUUAACUCCUUCAUUCCCACUGGUGCAAUACGAUACGGUGCCCUGGAAACUGGUGCCGCUCCUAGCACAAUAUCUAUUACAAACUCGGUCUCCCUAUCCGGUGGAAGACCCGAUAAUUCACUUGGAAAUACAUCCGUGAAUUCUUUAACUAUAGGUAUUUGUUCCAUGGUUGCUACCACUCUCUGGGUAUCAACUACUUGGCACAGAUAACCUACACAUCCCUUUCUCAAUAAUUUCCUAGUUUGUGUCAUGGUAAGAUAACACGAAUGCCCCGACGAUCUAUUCCCGUAAAAUACUACUUGAGGUUGUCUCAACGUUCUAAUAUUCACACAUUUCUUCUGCCAAUCUAUAAUUUCCCCAUGGUUAACCAACUAAUCCAUUCUGAGAAUUACAUCGAAUUCUCCUAACUUUAUCGGUAUCAAAUCUACCGAUAAUUUACAACCCCGUAUGUCUACGUAACAACUCCUAUGAAUAUCUUCAUAACGAAUUAUCUCCUCGUUUGUUACCUUAAUAUUUAAAGGUAUAAAAAACUUCUCAGGAAGUAAUCCUAAUCAUUUAGCAAUGUCACAAGCUAUAAACGAACAAGUAGCACCCAAAUCAAACAACACGUAACCAUUUAUGGCAUUGAUCGGAAUAAUACCUGUGACUACGUCCCCUGAUGCAACUGCAUCUUGGACUAUCAUGUUAAAGGUAUAAGCCAUUAGCAUACCCGGCUGCACUGGACCACUAAUAGCUAAUUUAUCGCUAUUAGUGCCCUUAAUCCCGUCCGUCCCCUUCUUCGGGCAGUUCUUUGCCAUGUGGUCAGUUGACCCACACACAAAGCAUCCGUGGUUUUUCUUCGAACUUGGACAGUUAGGCAAAAUGUGCCCCUCUUGUCCACAAUUGUAGCAUACAGCCUUCCCCUUGAGACAGACUCCCAGAUAAGUCUUCCCACAGGUUUUGCAGGCCUCCAUUCUCCUCUUUGGAUCUCCUUGUUUCACUCUGGUAUUCCUAUAGUUAAAACACUUUCCGCUUCUGACCCUCGCCACUCCCACUGGCUCAUUCUAUCUUCACUCCCCCAAUAACCUUACCCUUAUUCUUCUUGUCUUUCUGGUACUGGCUUAGAGCCUCGCUACCACCUUCGAUGAUUAUCUCCUUCUCUAAAAUAGUCCCAAAUGAAGUACUUUGGAACAUUGUUAUACAGUUAUAGAGUAAGGGUUCCAAACCCUGCUCGAACCAGCGAGCUUUCCUAACCUUGGUGUCCACUUGAUGUGGAGCAAACCUUGCCAGUUCAUUAAACUUGGCAGCAUAUUGGGGAAUCGUCAUGUCUCCUUGUUUCAAAUCCAGAAACCGCAUCUCCAUCCUUCCCUGCAUACUCGUGGGAAAGUAGUUCUCGAUGAUAUCUCCUUGAACCUUACCCACGUCACAUUCUCAAUACCAGCUCUAUACUGGUUAGCCUCCCACCAAAAAUUGGCUACACCUUUCAUCAUAUAGGUUGCAAAGGCAACCUUCUUACCCUCUUCGACAUUUGAUGUGACAAAUGCCUUCUAAAUUUCUUUCACCCACGUUUGGGCUUCUAUAGGGUCUGUAGUUCCCUUGAACUCCAGCGGACCCACACUUUUAAAAUCCUUGAAUGUAGUAGCUUGUACUACUACCAGAUUUCCGGGGAUAUUAGCCUCAUUUUUAUUAAACGCAGCUGUUAAUAAAUUAACAAAUUCCUGCAUUGGGUUAACCGGACCUCUCUCCGGUUGAUUUAUAUUAGGGCCUUGGUUUCAUUGUCCUCUUCUUGGUGGCAUUUUGCUAUUACAAUAAACAACAUAUUUCAUUAUUAUUCCCUUCUUAUUAGUUAGUUAUUAUUCAAAAUUAAACAAUAACUGCAACAUCCAUUACUCAGUAUGUUCCGUAAAAAGGCUUAUAUUGAUUCAUUCAUUGUACUAUAAUACUACAUCGUGCCAUUACACAGCCUAAGCUGAUUACAUUACUAUCCCACAAUUACUUUCCAAAAAUUGGGAUUUACAAAAGACUACCCUUUGAUAUACAAAAUAAGGUUUUAUGUCACUACUAGAUACACAAUAUUUACAUAUCUAAUAAUACUCUAGCUACUACUAGAUUACCUUAAGGCAUUAUAAAAAUCUGUUGUGGCCAGACCAGCAAUAACAUCCCGGCUGAUAGUGUGCUGAGUCUGUCCAGCCUCUAUUGGAUUUCCAGCCACCUGCUGAUGGAAAUCCUUAUGAGAACUCCUAUAAAUAUAGGACAUUCUCCCUAUCUUCUUGGUCUUUAGCUCCCCCCUGAGCUCAAAAACCUCUUGCUUUAGCUCAUUAACCUUUUCCUUGGAUAAAACUCGCUUGUUGUGUUCCUGUUCCAACAUCGACUCCACAUCUGUCUUAUCCUGUAAGACAGCCUGGAGCUCUACUCUUAACUCUUUCACCUCCUGACAAUAGUGGAGGUUCCUAUCUAACACUGUCAUGAACAGUGACAUCAUAGACUCCCCUUGGGGUGUCUCUUCUGCAAGUGUCAUAGAGUUGAAGGACACCACCUCCACCUCUUCUUCUAACAUGCCAUCAAAUAUCGACAUGAGAUCGGGGUCCUCUGAGUCUCCAGACUCAAUCACUACUACCUCUGGCUCCUCUCCUAUUGGAUUCGGUAUAACCUCUAUCUGGUUAACCGAUUCUUCAUUGUUUAUUUGUACAUCUCUAUACAUUCCAUUUCCACCUGACAUCUACAACAAAACAAUUAAGUUUGAUUAGUACACGUCCGUAGAAUAAUAAAAACACAUAACAUAUAUAUAUAUAUAAUGCAUUUUUAUAGGGUUAAUUUCUUCUUUUACUUCUUUGACUUCUCUUAAGGUUAUGACUUAAGGUUUUAAUUUCCCUCCUUAAGUUUUAUAACCUAAUGCUUUGAUACCAACCCGUGACGCCCCCAAUUCUGGGUAUCUUCUAACCCGACAUAUGGUGCUCCACAGUGCUACAGUUUACACAAACAUUCAAUUGAAAUACCUGAAAAGAACAAAUAUGUCUUAUAUAUAUAUAUAUAUAUUCCAAAAUAAUAUUACCAUUCUUCAAGUUCUUUAUAACCGUUACAUUUGUUCUUGUCAUAAUAUCAAAUAUUAUCAUUACAAACCUAUACUAUUACAUAAGUAAUCUACGGAUGAGCCUUAGCCUUUCCUUUAUCCUUGCCGGAUCCUUUGGUCCGUUCGGUCUUAGCUGCAUUCAUAUGGUUCAAGCAAGAGUGAGCAUAACUAGCUCAACAAGUACAACAAUUCCAUUUAACAAUAUGCUUGAAUCAUAAAAAUCAUAUAUCUUCAAUAACUGAACAAUAGUUAUGAAGUACUAUUGAUAAUUCAAAAUAACCCUUCUCUUUCUUGAAAACGUUUUACAAAUGACAAUAUUUAGUAAAACAUCAAUUCUGGUCCAAGACCUUGAGCAUUUCAUACUUUCUUCGAAAAGGACAUCCCAGGACUAAGUCCGUAAGUCCGUUAUUUCUUAUGAGCACGUCUAGGUGAUCAGCCUAUAGUACUCUAUGUUGAUCAAGACUACAUUCAUUAAACGUAUGUACGUUUAAGUUGUGGCAACCUCACGUGCUUGUCGUUUGACGACAAAACAUUUUAGCAUACUCAGUCUUCAUUUGAAAACCACACCAAUAUAAUUUGGUAAAACAUUGACCAUACUUCGAUAGAUUAUAAGAAAUCCAACAUAUCAUAAGUCUAGCCAAAAGAAUUAGCUUUGACUUUAUCAUGCAUCAAUUUAUACGUAAGAAUACAUGAACCACAAAGCUUAUCUAGAUUGAACAUAGACAAGGGUUAGAAAACUUGCCUUCAGCGUUUGCUACUGUUAUUACACGUUCACUUUAAGUCUUUAAGGUCUCUACAGUAGAUGAUCACAUCACAUAACACAUUAGGUCAUGAUUAACAUACAUGGUUCCUAAAGAAUCUUACAUCACAUAACACAUUAGGUCAUGAUUAACAUACAUGGUUCCUAAAGAAUCUUACCCUUCUUCUCAAUCUAAUCAUGAAUUAGAUUUGUUACUAUUAGUUCUAGCUUUUUAAUAUAGUUCACCAUGUCAUUAAGUUCAUAUUCGAUUACUUAUCUUCAACCUUUAUGUAUCAUAAUUAAGGUUUAACAAUGCCUUAACAAUGUUAUAAUUAAGCUUUACUUCAUUGUUAAUUAGUUACUAUUCUUGCUUUAUUUACAAACCUUCUUCACUGCCAAAACCCUAAGGCUGGCGCUGCGGUGCCAGUCAUUACUAUACAACUCGCGCUGCGGCGCGGGUUUCCAGUAGCUCUCAUUCGGCCUUGGCGAUGUGGUGCCACUCUCAGUACUGAGACUCGCGCAGCGGUGCCACUUCCCUAUAUGCUAUACACAUACCUCGCGCUACAACGUUGGCAACAGCUCUAUGGGUCGCGCCGAGGCGCGGACCCUGAGCCUCACACAGUUACUUCAAUUAAUUUAUUCUGUGAAUUUCCGGGGCCAUAACUUAUUCAUUUUAAGUCCGAAUUGGCUCGUUCAAAAGCCAUUAGCUCACAAAUUAUAUACUCUACAUGUUCAUGCAAGAAUUUAAUAUUUUUGACUUCGUUAACUCAAAAUUCACCUAUUGGUUCAUUUUUAACGAAAACGAUAAACGUUCGUGAGCGUUCAACGCUCGUUUUUUCAUUCUAAGUCAAAAUUCGGCUAUUUUCGAGUCCGUAACUCUAUAAUGCCAAAUAAGACUCGUUCCCAUCGAAAACCAACAUUUCUAAGCUAAAAAUCAAAAUUCAACUUCUAAUCCGAGAAUUUCACGAAUUCGACGAUUAUUGUCCAAUUGUUAGAAUUCCGGCAUAACUUCGUUACUUAUGAUUUGAUAAUAAUUUCAAAUGGAUUCUAUCUAUCAUAUUGACAUCUUAACCUACACAUUACAUCAACUUAUUUUCAUGAUAAGUUAUGACAUAUUCUUCAUGAGUUUAUAGCUUAUUAAAGUAUAAACUACAUAUAACUUUGUUUCACAUGGCUUAUGAUAGUGUAAGUCUUCUAACCAUCAUUCUUACAUACUUUUAUCAUGCUAACUUCAUUUAUGUAAACAUGAUACAAGUCUUACAAGUUCUUCCUUAGUUCAUAGCUUAUCUAUGAACGAAGUGCUUAUUCUCAGCUUAUUAGGACUUAAGUACUUAGAUUAUUUAUUCCUAUCAUUCUUAGCAUAUAUGUCCAUUAAUCCACACUUCUCUUAUCAACCUAAAAUGGUAGAGAUGGAAUACUAAUGGACAAGAGUCUUACCCUUGAUGAUCACUUGAAUCUUUCUUGUUCUUACUUCUUGCUUCAAAGCCUAACUUUUCCUAACUUAUUAUCUCUAACCAAUAAGCACUUUGCAAUUGAAAGUUGUUGGAUGAAAUGAGCAACCAACAAAUGAAAUUCAAACUCUCUAUUUAUAGGUUUUCUAAGGUUAGGGUAGCUUAGUCAUUUAGGCCAUCCUACCUCCUUAAUCAAACCUCCUUACUAUUCAUUACUUACUUGCUAAGUUAACUUGGCCUCCACAAAACUUAUCCCUUGCUUGGUUAUUACAUAAUUAUCAUGGUCACCAAGAAUAACCACAUGAUCAUGGGUUUCCCCAUGGAUCACCUUAAUCCAAUGGAUCAUAGCUUGGGCUUAGGUUUAAAUUUGAUUAACUUAAGUUUUGGACUUAUAUUAACAACUUACUUGGGCUUUAUAUUAACAAACACUUGGGCUUGCACAUUUAAUUCUAUUGGACUCUACAAAUUACUACACAAUCCUACAAGUCCAAUUCAUUUGACUUAAAGCCUUAUAACGUAUUGUUUACGUAUUAUUCUUUUAUUCUAACUCGUAUGUUCAUUCAUAAUAUACAAUAUUCCAUCCUUCAUACAUACUUGUAUAAUACUUGGAAGUUCAUAAUGAAGAUCUAUCUGAACCGUGACCCAUGGGAAUGGUGGGUAGUCGAAAAUGGACCAGUCAUUCCGCGACAUGAUGAUGGCAAGCCAAAGAAUCUCAUGGAAAUGGACUCAAAUGAAUCAUAUAUGGUAUCUUAUGAUUCUAAGGCCAUGAAUACACUUUUAAGUGGCAUGGUUCAGUCGGAGAUAGAUAAGGUCUCCUCUUGUACUACGGCUAAGGAAAUUUGGGACACGGUCAUCAAGAGCCACGAAGGUACUACUAAAGUGAAGGAGGUCAAGCUGAGCAUGCUAAUGCACGAAUACAAACUAUUCAAAUUGGAGAAAAAUGAAUCGAUUAGAGAUGCCCAAGCAAGAUUCCUUACUCUAAUGAAUUCCUUAAGCAUGCUUGGAUGAAAGAUUGAUCAAAAGGAAAUCAACCGAAAGCUUCUUAGAGUCAUGCCAAAGCGAUUCGCACCAAAGGUUACUACACUUCAAGAUUCCGUCACAAUCAGCACAAUGGAAACUCUUACCUUAUUUAGAGAACUUGAAGAGUUUGAAAACCAACUAAAAUUGUACGAUGAAGAAGAUGAGGCACCUAAAAAGAAGACCUUGGCUCUACAAGCUAAAAGCUACAUAGAAGGCAAUAAUGAAGAUUUUGAUGAAGAAAUUGAAAUGCUCUCAAGAAAACUCGAGAGACUACUUCAAAGAAAGAAACAAAGGAAGAAUAAAGAAGGCAUCUCAACUCUAAUGAGCAAGUCCAAAACAGAACAAGAUGAAGAAAUUGGCCAAUCAUGUUUCAUUGGACUAGAAGACGAUGAUCAACUUGAGGUAACGAAUUUUAAAAUAUCUACAUCUGAUUAUCUUGCUUUACAAAAUGAAAAUCAAAGGCUUAAAAAGAAAACUGCUUAUUUUAAGAAAUGUGUAAAUGAGCUAAUGAAUGAAGUUGAGUCACUUAUUGAAGAAAGAAAAGAAAAUGAAUAUCUUAAAAAUAAAAAUCAAACUUUAAAAGAAAAUUGAAAAUGAGAGAUGUAUGCAUAGAUGCUUUUAAUGAUGGAAAAAUUAUGAAUAUGCAACAUGAUGAUAAGUAAUAAAUGCUGAAAUAACAUCUUUAAAAAAUGAUCUUGCUAAAUUUGUGCAAGGAGAAGAGAACCUAAAUGUUGUGUUGGGGGCACAAAGGUCCAGUCUUGAUAAACAAGGGAUUGGGUAUAAUUCUAUUAAAAAUGUGGAUAAUAAGACUAAUAAUAAUAUUAGAAUGAUUAAUAGUAAGUCAAGGCAUAAACCCCUUUAUUGUUCACCAUUUGUUACUUGUAAAAAAUAUGGUUUUAAAGGUCAUUUUGAUUCUAAUUGCAAUAAAAUUAGAAUAAAACAAAUUUGGGUAAAGAAAAGUGAUUUAUAUGCUACUAACCCAAAAGGACCCAAGAAGAUUUGGGUACCAAAAAGAUAGAGACUAUUUGUUUGUAGGUGUCUCAAGAUCAAAAAGGAGAUGGAUGAUUCUUUACUUUGAGAGAGUAAGUUACCUAUAAAUUAUUGGGCAGAAUCUGUAAGUACCUCAUGUUGUUUUUUAAAUAGAGUUUUAAUUAGAUAUAUUAUUUUAAAAACUCUAUGGAUUUCGUAUUACAAGGGUUCAUAACAUCAUUUAUUAUGUCAAAUGCUCCAUAUUUAAUAUACAUGACAAUCUUGAUAAAAGGUUGAGGAAUAUGUUCAAAUUUUAUUUGAUAAUUUUGACUUUGAUCUGUCAAAAGAAGAGAAUGAGGUUUUUGCAGGGAAAAGUAAUGUGGUACGUGGAAAUCAAACAGCUCAAUCCAGACAGUCUAAGCCGUCUGCAUUACAAGGAAAAAUAGAUGAACCAGGAAAACAUGCAGACACCUAAAUCCAGACAGCUCGAUUCGUCUAUUUUUGAAGGCAAAUCAGAUGAAUAUUCUGAUGCAAAAUCUGAUAUUCCAGAAAGUGAAUCAAAUGAACAAAUUACCAAUGACAGUCUUCCAAGAACAACCAAAGUAGUAAAAAAAAAUUAUCCUCCUAACCUGAGUUUUAAAGACCUCAACAUUGGGAUGCCAAAAGAAGUGCUAUUGAAGAGAUUUUUGAUUCUGAAAAUACAAAAUUCAAAUCUACACUAAGGAGCACAAUUAUCAAGCUUUCUGCUGGUAACAAAAGGUUGAUAUAUAGGUAACAAAUUACAAAGGUAUGAUUAUAUUAUUUACUUGCUAUAUGUGAUUUUGUUAUAACCUUGUUCUAUUGUAAUUCUUUAUGCUUAUUUUUUUUUAAUUUGGCUAAUGGGGUGAGAUAACUAACUUCAACUUAAUUGAUAUGAAUUAUUUUUUGUUGAUGAUAAAGGGGGAGAGAUAUAACUUGAUGAUUUAUUUCUUUUUGAUAAUGACAAAGGGGGAGAGAUAUUUGGGUAUAUUUAAAUUGGUUUGAAUUGGUAUUCAUGUUGAUAUUGAGAUACUAUAUUAUACUAGAAUAUGCAAUGAUGGUUAUUUGGAUAAAGUAAUUUUCUUUUGCUCCUUAAUAUGCAUAAAUUUAUGGGCAGCCAUAUACUUAGGGGGAGCAUGUUGGUGCAUAAAUUGUCAUCAUCAAAAAGGGGGAGAAUGUUGGUUUUUGAUUUUAUGAUGUUUUGAAUGAUGACUAAUUUAAGUAUAUUAGACAUGUGCAUGGUUCAUGGUUUGUUAUAAUAUUAUAAUUAAUAUGCAUGGGUUAUGGUUAUUACAUGAACACUUGUUGCUACUUUUCUUCUGUUGGUAAGUUGGAAUGUUUUAAAAUCAUUUCAAAUUUGAUUUGGAGUUUAUUAAGGAAGAUUUGAUUUGGAGUCUAUUAAGGAAGAUUUGAUUUGGAGUCUAUUAAGGAAGAUUUGAUUUAGAGGUAAUUAAGGAAGAUUUGGAUUGGAGUUUAUUAAGGAAUAUUUGAAUUGGAGUUUAUUAAGGUAUGUUGGUAUUUAUAAUUUUAAUAAUGACAAAUAUUAUGGUCUUUUGUUAUUAAUUCCAGCUGGCCCAAAUUGGUUCUUCUAUUUCAUCUGAGUAUUUCGUGGGUGCUUACUUAUUUAAGGAUUUUAUCUUGCUUAGUGGAGCCCACAUUAGUUAGUGAUAUUUUGGUAUUCUAUUUUGAAAAGGAGACUUACAGAAGCUAUUGGGUCUUAUCCUUAUUAAUCUCUUUGUUCCUUUAUUUAAGGUGUUUUGGUUUGACUUGAAAACAUAUUCUUGAUUUACCAAAUCUGUUGGACUCUUUAAUUGCUAAAAUCAUGGUGUAUAUCAACUGUGAUAUAUGUUCCGUUGGUCAAUAUUGUAGCUUUAAUUAUGGGAUUUAAAUUAUCUUAUUUCUUGCUAACAAAUAUAGUCGUUGGCCUUCAUGUUAUAUAAAGCUUCAUCAUGCUCGGUUAUGAAGGGAACCCAAGAAUUGGAAAGUAGCAAUUCAUUCUUCUUAAUUCUUAUAGCUUUCUAAUAGUCUUUCUAGCAAUCAAUGUCCUGUUAUCCUUAGGCUAGAAAGUUGAUAUUCCAUUGGAAUCACCAUCAUUGUAAUCUGAAAAAAACAAAACUGAUAGCUUUUGUGGUCUAGAGUUUCUAGAGUUUAGUGGGUCUGUUCAAAGGAAGCUUCAAAGGUCUCAGAGGUGAGAACAAGUGCAGAGCUGUACAAGUUGCAGAGGUGCAAAGGGGGCAUUGGUGUCCAUCAUUAGAAUUGAAGCUUCCUUGUAACAGGGAGUUCUUUUUAUUGUAUUUAAUUGAAUAUUAAGUUUAAUAAAAAGAGUCUCCAAUCCUAGUUGGGAUUGGACGUGGAUUAGGCCACUAGAUAGAGGAUAGGGGCCGAACCACGUAAAAAUCUUGGUGUGAUUUUUACUUCUGUUUAUCUCUUUAACUGUCAUUCAUAUUCUGCACUUUUUUGUUAUACACGCUACUAUCCAGACACUAAAGCCGACAGGUUUAGCUGUCUGAUAAUAAGAAACGAAGAACAUAAGCUAAAGCAGACACUAAAGCAGACAGGUGUAGUUGUCUGAAUUAUACCUGUAGCAGAAAGUUACAAAAAGUUUUCACUAUUUAUCACUUUAAGCUUAAACACCUAUUCACCUCCCCUCUAGGUGUGCGUAUUAACUAAAUUACAAAACCUUCUUUAAUUAUAAUUCACAUAGAGAUAUAGUGAGUUAGUUGAUUAAGGUGUUUAACUUAUUUCUAUCUAAUUUGUGAAUUUGAGUUAAUACGGUAUUAGUUCAUCGAGAGGUGGUUAGUGCUAUAUUAGUGUUCUUGAUUAAUAAACUAGGAUAGUGAAUUUAAUUGGAAUAAAGGUGUAAAAAUCAGAGUGAAACUUAAGGUGAAAUAGUAAGCUUAAUUCUCCAAUAAUUGUUUGAAAUUUCAAUUUUUAAUAUUUGUGAUUGGUUUGUGAUCUUAUAUUUAUUAAUAAUUUAGUUUUUAUAAUUUUAAUCAUUGAUUUAGAUAGUUUAAUAAAAUUAGGAUUAAUAGGAAAUUGAUAAUGGUGAGGUUAAAUUCUUACUUAAUUGUCUCUGUUGGAAUGAUACUUUACUUACUAUUAUAUUACUUGUUGACCACGUAUACUUACGUGUCGUGCGUAAUUAGACUUUACCCAACAACUUUUUGGCGCCGUUGCCGGGGACAAUUUUAGUAUAGAUUUUAAUAUUUUAUGAUAUCAGUUUAAUUAGUCCAGUUUUACUUAAACAUUUUUAUUUUUGUUUUGUUCAUCUUAUUAUAGGUUUUUGAACUGGUUUAUGCAAACGCGGUCCAAAAAUCCAGACUUGCUUCCUUUUGAGGACGACAUUGAGAAACGGUUCCAAAGGCUAAGUAAGUGGAUCAAGGAAAUAAGAGAAGAAUUCAAAAAUUCUGAAAAAGAAGAGGCAAUGGCUGCUGAAGAUCAGAAAGCGUUGAGGGACUUUGCUACACCCAAGGUGACUAAGCUGCAGUCGAGUAUCACCAGACCUGCUAUAGUUGCGAACACCUUUGAAAUCAAGCCUGGGAUGAUUCAAAUGAUUCAAAAUUCAGUUCAGUUUGGGGGAUUGGCAACUGAUGAUCAUAAUGAACACUUGGUUAGCUUUCUAGAAAUUUGUGACACCUUCAAGUAUAAUGGGGUGUCGGAUGAUGCGGUGAGACUUCGCUUGUUCCCAUUCACCUUACGGGACAAGGCAAAGUGUUGGUUACACUCUCUACUGCCGGGAUCAAUAACUACUUGGGAAGACCUCGUUGAGAAAUUUCUUGCAAAAUUUUUCCCACCAGCGAAAACUGCGAAAAUGAGGAAUGAGAUAACGAUGUUUGAAUAGCAACAUGGGGAGUCACUGUAUGAGGCAUAGGAAAGAUACAAGGAAUUGCUUAGAAAGUUCUUUUAUCAUGGAUUGCCUAUGUGGUUGCAGAUGUACACGUUUUACAACGCAUUAAACGGAAAUCUCAGAACCAGUAUUUUGCAGCUUCGGGUGGAGCGUUUAUGGCUAAGAGAUAUGAGGAGGCUUACGAAUUAAUAGAGACUAUAGUAGCUAACAACUACUAGUGGCCCACGACAAGAAUGACACAUGCAAAGGCAGCUGGAGUGUUAGAAGUAGAUGGUGUGACGGCAAUACAAGCGUAGAUUUUAGCACUCUCUAAGAAGUUGGAUGCUAUGACAGGGGUACAUGAACAACAAGUUGUGGUUAUUUGUAAUUGUAUGCAGGUGAGAAUCCUACAGAUCAAUGCACAAUUAAUCCAGCAUUAGUAUAAUUUGUGGGUAGCUAUAACAGAAUUCCACAGAAUACAUACCAGAAUGCUUAUAAUCAGGGGAAUAUGAAUCAUCCGAACUUUUUAUGGAGUAACAAUCAACAUUAGCAAGCUCCAUGACCAUCAUAUCCCCAGGAUUUCAAAAUCAUCAACAACCAGCUUAACAUCAAGUGAGGAAAUUAGAUUUAGAGGAGUUGUUGACAAAGUACAUAACAAGCAAUGAGGUGGCUAUAAAAAAUCAAGUAAUGGUAAUGAAAUCGCAAGAGAUGGCCAUUAAGAAUCUAGAGAAUCAGAUGGGACAAAUUGCAUUAGCGUUGAACAAUAGACCACAAGGAACUCUACCAAGUGACACCGAGAGAAAUCCAAAGUGUAAUCACGAGCAAUGUCAAGCAAUUAUGUUGAGAAGUGGAAAACAGCUUGAGGGUCAAGAAACAAAAAAAUUGGCUACAAAGGAGGUUGAGACAGAUAAUGAAAAUAUAGCGGUUGACGUCAAGCAGGGGGAAGAAAAACAAGUGGAAAAGAGCAAACCAGUUAACGAACCAGUUGUCUAUCCUUCCCCACCGUUUCAGCAAGGAGUUCAAAAACAGAAACUAGAUAAGCAGUUUGCAAAAUUUUUGGGAGUUUUUAAGAAACUUCAGAUUAAUAUCCCAUCCGCAGAAGCCCUAGAGAAAAUGCCAAGUUAUGCGAAAUUCAUGAAAGGGAUUUUUUCCAAGAAAAAGAAGUUGGAAGAUUUCGAGACAGUGGCAUUAACAAAGGAGUGUAGCGCGGUUUUACAGUGAAAGUUGCCACCAAAGUUGAAAGAUCCAGGGAGUUUCACUAUUCCGUGCACGAUUGGGAAAAUGGUGUUCAACAAAUGUUUGUGUGAUUUGCGGGCAAGUGUGAACCUUAUGCCGUUAUUAGUUUAUACAAAAUUGGGUUUGCCUGCUCCAAAGCCUACGAAUAUCUCAUUGCGGUUGGCGGAUAGGUCAGUUACGUACCCGAGAGGCAUUAUAGAGGACAUAUUGGUCAAGGUUGACAAGUUUAUAUUUCCCGCGGAUUUCAUUAUUCUGGAUUUUGAGGAGGAUAAGAACAUCCCGAUUAUCCUAGGGAGACCUUUAUUGGCUAUGGGUAGGACACUCAUCGACGUACAAAAAUGUGAACUUACUAUGAGGGUCCAAGAUCAAGAAAUAAAAUUUAACGUGUUCAAGGCCAUGAAAUUCCCUACGGGUGAAGAAGAAUGUUUUAGGAUGGAUAUCAUUGACCAGAUAAAUCAGUGAAGAUAUGAACAAGAGUUUGGUUAAUAAUCCAUUGGAAAUGACAUUAUUAGGGGAUGAAGUGUUCGAUGAUCUAUAAUUUGUGGAUUACUUACAAAUACUAGACUCCUUGCCACGAGUUAGCAGAUUUAAAACACCCUUUGAACCAUUGCACACGGAGGAGAAAGCCACAACAAGGAUGAAAAUGUCAUUGGAGGAGCCAUCGACUCUUGAACUUAAGCCACUCCCUAAACACCUCAGGUAUGCAUAUUUAGGCAAUUCUAAUUCUCUGCCUGUUAUUAUUUCUAAGGGACCACAAAUCAACCAUAGGAUGGACAAUUGUAGAUAUCAAGGAAAUCAGCUCAUCCUUUUGUAUGCACAAAAUUCUGAUGGAAGAUGAUGCAAAACCAACAGUGGAACAACAAAUAUGGCUCAACCCUAUCAUGAAAGAAGUAGUUAAAAAGGAAAUAUUAAAAUGGUUGGAUGCGGGUAUCAUCUACCCGAUUUCAGACAGUAAGUGGGUCAAUCCGGUUCAGUAUGUGCCGAAAAAGUGAGGAAUGACCGUGGUUCAGAAUGAAGAAAAUGAGCUAAUUCCGACAAGUACAGUGACUGGUUGGAGGGUUUGCAUGGAUUACAGGAAGUUGAAUAAGGUGACCCAAAAAGAUCACUUUCCUUUGCCCUUUAUCGAUCAGAUGUUGGACAGAUUAGCCGAACAUGAGUACUACUGCUUAUUGGAUGGAUAUUCGGGUUAUAAUCAGAUCAUCAUCGCUCCUGAAGAUCAAGAGAAGACUACGUUUACAUGCCCAUACGGUACAUUCACAUUCAGGAGAAUGUCGUUCGGUUUGUGUAAUGCACCCGCUACCUUCCAGUGGUGUAUGAUGGUCAUCUUCUCGAAUAUAGGGGAGAAAAAUAUGGAAGUCUUCAUGGACGAUUUCUCUGUCUAUGGGGAUGAUUUUGAUGCUUGUUUAGAAAAUUUGGUAAUGGUCCUACAAAGAUGCAUAGGCACGAAUUUGGUCCUGAACUGGGAAAAGUGUCACUUUAUGGUUGAAGAAGGUAUAAUUUUGGCGCACAAAGUCUUGGCUCAAGGAUUGGAGGUUGAUAAAGCUAAGCUGGAAACAAUUAAGAAAAUGCCUCCACUGAGUUCAGUUAAGGGAAUUAGAAGUUUUCUAAGACAUGCUGGGUUCUACAGGAUAUUCAUAAAGGACUUCUCUAAAAUUGCAAAACCUUUGUGCAGUCUUCUAGAGAAGGAUUCAGUUUUUAAGUUUGAUGAUGAGUGUAAAUUGGCAUUCGAGAUGUUGAGGAAGAAAUUAACCACAGCUCCAGUAAUCAUCGCACCGGAUUGGACCAUGCCCUUUGUGUUAAUGUGUGAUGCUAGCGACUAUGCGGUUGGGGCUGUUUUGGGUCAACGCCGAGAGAAGGUAUUUAAUUAUGCAAGUAAGACACUAAUGGAGACUCAAAUGAAUUACACAACUACGGAAAAGGAAUUGCUUGUUUUGGUGUAUACGUUCGAUAAAUUCCAGGCAUACUUGAUCGGGACUAAGGUAGUAGUUUAUAUAAAUCACUCGGCCAUUCGGUACUUAAGUUCGAAAAAGGAUGCUAAACCACGUCUUAUCAGAUGGAUUCUCCUUUUACAAGAGUUCGAUUUAGAAAUAAAGGAUAGAAAGGGGAUGGAGAACCAAGUCGCCGAUCAUUUAUCUAGGUUGGAAAAUUAUAAUAAAAAGGAAGAGGACAAGUGUGUAAUCAACGAGUCAUUCCUGGAUGAGCAACUGUUCGGGAUAAAUACAGAAUUUCCAUGGUACGCGGACUUCGCGGAUUAUCUAGUGAGCAACAUUCUUCCCCUGAUCUUACACGACAAUAAAAAAAGAAGUUUCUUCACGAUGUCAAAUGGUAGAUGUGGGAUGAGCCUUACUUAUUCAAACAGUACGCCAAUAAUAUGAUCAGAAGAUGUGUGCCCCACAGUGAAGUAAAGAACAUAUUGCAUGAAUGUCACUUGUCUGCGUAUAGGGGACAUUACGGUAGUGAACGAACAACGACAAAGGUGCUUCAAGCCGGAUUUUAUUGGCCUACAUUGUUCAAGGAUGCCCACCAGUUUGUUAAAAUAUGUGAUAUAUGUCAAAGGGUGGGCAACAUAUCGAAAAGGAAUGAGAUGCAUGGGGCAUAGAUUUCAUGGGGCCAUUCCCUUCAUCACUUAACAAUCAGUAUAUUUUGGUUGCAGUGGAUUACGUCUCCAAGUGGGUUAAAGCCGCUGCACUCCCAACUAACAAUGCCAAAGUGGUUCUCAAAUUCUUGCAGAAGAACAUUUUUACGAGAUUUGGCACGCCGAGAGCUAUUAUAAGUGAUGAAGGUAGUCCCUUCUACAACAAAUCGUUUACAGCUGUAUUGACAAAGUAUGGGGUCAACCAUAAGGUAGCUAUAGCUUAUCAUCCCCAAACCAGUGGGCAAGCUGAGAUUUUGAAUAGGGAAGUAAAGAGAAUCUUGGAAAAGGUGGUAAACUCGAAUCGAAAGGAUUGGUCUGUCAGGUUGGAUGAUGCACUAUGGGCCUACUGGACUGUGUAUAAAACACCGAUUGAUGUGUCACCAUAUCAACUACUAUAUGGGAAGGCUUGUCGCUUACCUAUCGAGUUACAGCAUAAGGCUUAAUGGGCAAUUCAGAAAAUUAAUUACAAUCAAGCAGCUGUGGGGGGAAAGAGACUACUGUAAUUAAACGAGCUAGACGAAUUUUGACUUCAAGCCUACGAGAACUCUAAGCUAUACAAGGAAAAGGUCAAGAGAUGUCACGACCAGAAAAUCAUGCAAAGAACAUUUGAACUGGGGCAAUCAGUACUACUUUUCAACUCAUGGUUGAGGUUGUUCCCAGGCAAGGUUAAAUCAAGGUGAUCGGGACCAUUUGCCAUCAAAAGGGUUUUCUCUUAUGGCGUCGUUGAACUCUACAGUAGGAAUCCAUUAGAAACAUUCAAGGACAACGGUCAAUGGUUGAAGCAUUAUUGGGGUGGCGAAUCCAACACGGAAGUCAUUGCAAUUAUAUUAUCCGACUUACCAUAAACAGGGAGUAGUCAGGCUGAAUGACUUAAAAUCAAGCGCUAAUUGGGAGGCAAUCUAAUCAUACUUUUAUUUUUCAUAUUUUUAAUCAUAACUGUUAGAUUAUAAUUUAGCAUAAUUAGUAAUUUAUAAUAAGUGCAUUAAGUAGUUAUUAUAUUGUAUGAGUCUUGUUAAUCUCUCAACCAUGCUCAAAAUGAUCAAUAAUCUACUCACAUAUAUGUUCCAUCACUUGCAUGAUGUGAAACUAUUCAUUAAGUGGAAUAACAUGAAGGAAAGAAGAGCAGAGAACAUNNNNNNNNNNNNNNNNNNNNNNNNNNNNNNNNNNNNNNNNNNNNNNNNNNNNNNNNNNNNNNNNNNNNNNNNNNNNNNNNNNNNNNNNNNNNNNNNNNNNAUUCUAGCAACUUCAAUUCCAUCUUUGAACUUAUUUAACACAUUCACCCACUACCCAUUACCUCCAUCACUUACUCUUAUUCUUCUCCAUACACCAUCUCUAUAUAAACACACCCUCACAACCCAAGUUCAUCAUAUACACUUAAAUUGAACUCAGAAAGCCAUGAAUUAGGGUUCUUAUUGUGGGAAUUCAUCUUGCAUUUGAGAGUGAGGUACCUAUUUUCAAGUUCUUCAUCUUCUCUCACCAUAAUUGCCACAAAAUUCCCCAACCUUGGGGGAAGAAAUCAGUGUGCACACCACCUAUUCGACAGAGUGUGUGAGUCAAGUUUGGGGGGAAAUAGUUGUGUUAAGGCUUACUCAAUUCAAUGGCGUCGCAACCCACAUCAAAAUGACAAAGGGGAGAAAUUUCAAGGCCCGCACAACCGACACGGACCUUUAAUCGCCGUUAAUUCGUAAGUGCCACCGCCACCGACUGAUACAACUAUAUGGUGACAAAAGCUCUUACACCGGAGUGGGGGUUGGCACUGGAUCCUGUUGACGGUGAAAUGAUGCAACAAAUUUAUCAGAAAGGGUGGAACAAGUUCACUGAGGAACCUGAGCCAUCUGUUGUCAACGUGGUCAAAGAGUUUUAUGCCAACGCCGAGGACAAUGCUUAUGUGUGGGGUUGAUUAGUCUCAUUCAGUACUGAUGCCAUCAACACCUAUUAUCAGUUAUGAGUGCCUCGACAGUGCCAAUACGCUCACCUACAUGAUUUUGAUCCCGACUAUGAGGCUAUACUCAAAGAAAUGACUAAGCCGGGAACAACAUGGAUCAAGGGUCAGAAAGGAGGCACUGUUUGUCAUAGCAAGGAUCUCAGUCGAUAUGGUAAAAUAUGGUAUGCCUUUUUAUGUGCAAAAUUGUAUCCAUCCCAACACACAUCGGACGUGACAAAGGAGAAGGCACUACUUCUAUAAGCAAUUGUGCAAGAUUUCAUUAUUAAUGUCGGGGCCAUAAUCUAUUUUUCCAUUCGUCGAAGCUUAUGAGGAAACUUUUCAGGCAGCUUGCCACACCCAUCACUCAUAUGUGGGUUAUGUCGCCAAGCGGGUGUUAGAUGGUCUGGUGAUGAACCCACUCAGAUGCCGCUUCAGCUACUCGAUUCUAGAAUGAUCAUGUGGUAUUCGGUGUGGGCCGGAGGUGAUUCCCAUCCUCGAGGUCUGGGAUUUAUUUUUCCAUCAGCUUCGAAGGACGAGGUUGACGUUGCAGACACCUCGGAGGAUGAGGAUGCAACUGUGGGAGAGCAAGGAGCGGAGGCGGAACCACAAUCUGAUGCCAUAUCUAACACUCAAUUUCUUGCAUUUCAACGUCAAAUGGAUACGCGCAACAAGUCAGCACAAAGGGAGAUGCGGCGACUCGCAGCGAGAUAAGACCACAUGUUUGAAGCUAUGAAUACAUCUUUUGCAUCAUUAAAUGCGACACUCCAGAGCUUCAAUCCAACUGCCCAAUUUCCAUAUCAGAAAUUGUCGCCACUGCCGCGAUUUCCACCGAGUGACUCCGAGGAAGAAGAUCAACCACCACCACCCCAUGUUUAAUAUGCUUACAGGGAAGUCCUUAUAAUUUUUAUUGAGUUAUCCACACAAUGAUGGCACUGUAAUUCUUAAGUUUGGGGGAUUUUAAUUACAUGUUUGCAUGCAUAAUGUCAUUAGUUAGGCUUGCAUUUGUCAUUGCACUUUAGUUUUGAAUAUUAAUUUAGGAUUUGUGAUAUUGCAUUCAUGUAAUCAUAUAAUUGCAUAAUAGCUUAGGUGCAUACAUAGUUUAAUUUUUGUUGUUAUUUCUGCAUUUUGUUAUGUGAAGCAUAUAUAUAUAUAUAUAUAUAUAUAUAUAAAUUAGUUAAAUAUUGUGUUUGCAUAUAUCCAGCAGUACUAUAGUUCAUUUUAUUUUGGGCCAAUGAUGAGAUUGAGAUUAAGUCGAUAAAUACAACAUUGAUAUUUACAACCUUGAUGUAGUUUUGAAUUAUAACUCGGAUAUUGUGCUUGUUUGAAACUGGUAUAAAAAGGGAAGCACGUAAUAACAUCUGUGUUGACUGAUUAGUUUAAAUUGAUACAUAAAUAGUUUCUAAAGGAUAAUGCUAGUGUAAAUCAUAGAAUGACAAGGAUAGGCAGUGAAAAUGACGAAUUAGACAAGAACCUAAGUUUGGGGAAAAAGGUAGGGUAUUUAAGCUUCAGAAACAAAAGAGAAAAUAAUAUCUAGUUGAGUCUUGUAGUGGGUUGAGGAAAACAUACUCCCCAUAAACACGAGCGUAAAACGCACUUACCAACCAUCUAUCGAAAAAAAUAUAUAUAUGAAGAAAAGUCGGGAAAUAGGAGCAAAGAGCCCCCGUUAGUUCGAACUUUUCUAUUUUUGAAAUUUUUGAGUUAUUUUCUAUGAUUCCUAAUAAGAAAUUGAUUAUGUGUUGAAUUUGAAUUAGAAUCAGUUAGCAUAGACGUUGCUCACACACGCACUAUAUCAGUAAUUAAGGUCAAAGAUUCGAGGAUUGAGGAGAAACUAUUGAGUGGUUUUGAUAUGAGGUGUUGAAAUAUUUGCUUGAUCUUCCUGAGGCCGGAGGAAUAUUUUUGAUUCUGUGAUACUGUUGGAUUCGUAAUCAUAUAGUUAGAUACAUUAUAUCUCAUCUCAUUGCAUUGCAUAGCCUAUAGUUUGUUUUAUGCUCGAGGACUAGCACGGUUUAAGUGUUGGUUUUUGAUUUUAUGAUGUUUUGAAUGAUGACUAAUUUAAGUAUAUUAGACAUGUGUAUGGUUCAUGGUUUAUUAUAAUAUUAUAAUUAAUAUGCAUGGAUUAUGGUUGUAACUAUGAUAAUAUAAUAUGCAUGAAUAUUGGCAGUAUAUAAUAUUAUAUUAUAUGCAUGGAUUGUGGGUGGACAUUAUGGGAACAUAUAACAGUCCAUAUAAAUCUAUAUUGCAUGUUUGCUAUAAUCUCAUCUCAAUUGAUUGACAGGGAAUGAAAUUUGGUCAACUGAUUAGUUGAUUCAAAUUUGAACUAGAAGCUUCAAAAGGUAUAUGCUCUAAAUAUAGUAUAUUGUUAACAAACCAUAUCUUUCGUAUCCCUUCAGAUCAGAUGAUUGAUAUCAUAUCUUUUAGGUUGAGCUUAUCAAGGAAACAAUAUAUCUAUCGAUUUGGUGCUAAUUUCAUGGAAUCAGCCCUCUCAUAGCCAUUGGAAGCUCUACUAUAUAUCUCUCUCCUGCUCGGCUAUUGGAAGACAGAACUUGGAAAAGCUUUAAUUAGUCUCAUACGUUCUAUUCAAUAGCGAUUCUAAGUUUCUUUCCAGCAACUCUUUUGUAUUGUUCUUAAAUUGUAUUUGUUGGGUUUCGACACAGAAAACGCAGCGGAAAUUGAACAAUUCAAAGUAAUUUCCGAAACCCCAAAACAGGAUCCAUGCGAAAAUCAAUUAAUUCAGAGGAUAGAAAUUUUACCGAUUUGAUUUGCUAGAACCGAUCCGGUCGAAUCUCCAACGCAAUUCAAGUGGACUGCGUCUCUACGGUAUCCACACUCACGCUAUGCACGAAUCGUCCUACGAUCUGCAGAAGAAGGAAGUGUGGUACUAGCCACCAAGGAUGGAUUUCUGAUUUUUCUCUCUAGUCUCUCUCUAANNNNNNNNNNNNNNNNNNNNNNNNNNNNNNNNNNNNNNNNNNNNNNNNNNNNNNNNNNNNNNNNNNNNNNNNNNNNNNNNNNNNNNNNNNNNNNNNNNNNNNNNNNNNNNNNNNNNNNNNNNNNNNNNNNNNNNNNNNNNNNNNNNNNNNNNNNNNNNNNNNNNNNNNNNNNNNNNNNNNNNNNNNNNNNNNNNNNNNNNNNNNNNNNNNNNNNNNNNNNNNNNNNNNNNNNNNNNNNNNNNNNNNNNNNNNNNNNNNNNNNNNNNNNNNNNNNNNNNNNNNNNNNNNNNNNNNNNNNNNNNNNNNNNNNNNNNNNNNNNNNNNNNNNNNNNNNNNNNNNNNNNNNNNNNNNNNNNNNNNNNNNNNNNNNNNNNNNNNNNNNNNNNNNNNNNNNNNNNNNNNNNNNNNNNNNNNNNNNNNNNNNNNNNNNNNNNNNNNNNNNNNNNNNNNNNNNNNNNNNNNNNNNNNNNNNNNNNNNNNNNNNNNNNNNNNNNNNNNNNNNNNNNNNNNNNNNNNNNNNNNNNNNNNNNNNNNNNNNNNNNNNNNNNNNNNNNNNNNNNNNNNNNNNNNNNNNNNNNNNNNNNNNNNNNNNNNNNNNNNNNNNNNNNNNNNNNNNNNNNNNNNNNNAUUGUUGUCCCAUCAACAAUGAUACUCGACUAGGGACAUUUAAGAACAAUGAUACUAAUAGUAAUUAUAUAAUCUCAUGUUCAAGUCACAUACUUGCAACUAUAUAAUUUGUAUCACUAUUCUAAGGAUUUUUAUUAUGUUGUCAUUUAUAUAACGCAGUAAAUAAAAUCAUAAUAAAAGCAUUCAUUUAUGCAAUCAAAUGUAAUAUCAAAACGUUAAGCAAUUAUAUCAAAUAAUUGGCCUCUAGGGCACAAUCUCUAACAGUAUUAUGUUGGAAACUUGAUAGUCGGUAAUCAAUAUCCUUGUUCUUAGUUUAAGCCUUGUAUCGGCUUGGACUAUCUAGAGUUGAUAGGAUCUGUUUGUAGACAAGCUUUCAAGGCUGCAGUAGUGCAGAGGUCUCAGUGGUGAGAAGGAUUGUAGAG
Molecule: long non-coding RNA, 64028 nt
Filed under: Panax ginseng (ginseng)
Lineage: Eukaryota; Viridiplantae; Streptophyta; Magnoliopsida; Apiales; Araliaceae
Description: long non-coding RNA (PGIN_LNC004038)
Source: RNAcentral